GCAGGGAAUAUGGGGUUUGUAUGGAAAUUUUCAUAAGCCCCCAUACGGUGGUCCAAAUCCUGUAUUUUUUAUCUAAAUCUUUAUUGAAUCAAAUACUGGGAUGUAUUGAUUUGAUGUUAUGGAGCUACUCUUUUAAAGGAAAAAAUAUGGUUGUUUUUGUACAGUAUUCCUUUGCCCAAGUGGGUUACAGGGGAGAUCGAGAAGGACCCAGACCUCGCAUACACUGAUCAAUGGGGAAGAAGGAACUACGAAUACCUUUCACUUGGUUGCGAUACCCUUCCUGUCUUGAAAGGCCGUACGCCUGUUCAGUGUUACGCUGAUUUCAUGCGUGCCUUUAGGGACAAUUUCAAACACCUCCUUGGUGAUACCAUUGUGGUAAUGCUUCUAAUUUACUAAUAAUUGUUGAUCCCAUUUUGUCUCAUCCUCUUGGAAGAAUUCAACUGCUAAGGAAUUACCAUUAUUUUUCACUACAGGAAAUCCAAGUCGGAAUGGGUCCGGCAGGUGAGCUUCGGUACCCUUCGUACCCGGAGGCGAAUGGGACAUGGAAGUUCCCUGGAAUUGGAGCCUUCCAAUGUUAUGAUAAGGUACCCUGACAUUGCACUGCUCUCUCUUGUUUCUAUUUCAGAUUAGGUUCUGUUUUGGUGUUAAUAAUACGGAUGUUAUUUGAUGCAGUAUAUGCUUAGCAGCCUAAAAGCAGCGGCUGAAGCGGCGGGUAAGCCAGAAUGGGGUAGCACUGGCCCAACUGAUGCUGGUCACUACAACAAUUGGCCAGAAGAUACGCCUUUUUUCAAGAAAGAAGGUGGUGGUUGGAAUACUCCAUAUGGUGAAUUCUUCCUUACCUGGUACUCUCAGAUGCUGUUAGAACACGGGGCGAGAAUUCUAUCGUCCGCAACAUCGAUUUUUGACGGUGCAGGUGUGAAGAUCUCUGUGAAAGUUGCGGGAAUCCACUGGCAUUACGGAACCCGAUCCCAUGCUCCUGAACUCACAGCUGGGUACUAUAACACAAGGUUCCGAGAUGGUUACCUCCCGAUCGCACAAAUGCUAGCACGUCAUGGUGCCGUUUUCAACUUCACUUGCAUAGAGAUGCGGGAUCAUGAGCAGCCCCAAGAUGCCUUGUGUGCACCUGAGAAGCUAGUGAAGCAAGUUGCUUUAGCAACAGGAGCAGCACAUGUUCCACUUGCCGGGGAGAAUGCACUUCCCCGUUAUGAUGAAUACGCCCACGAGCAGAUCUUACGAGCUUCAUCGUUGAAUGUCGAUGGCUCAGCAGUUGAUAGAGAGAUGUGUGCAUUUACGUACUUGAGGAUGAACCCAUCGCUCUUUCAUCCGGACAAUUGGAGACGGUUUGUUGCAUUCGUGAAGAAGAUGAAUGAGGGAAAAGGGGCUCGUCGGUGUUGGGAAGAGGUGGAGCGGGAAGCCGAACAAUUCGUGCAUGUCACGCAGCCUUUCAUUCAGGAGGCCGCCGUUGCCCUUAUGCAUUAGCGUAGCUUAGUAAAGAGUUUGUAUUAAUAACAGUUCCUCAAGGAUUCUGAAAUGAUAUAGUUUUUCCUUUCACAUUUUUUUCCUAUGCAGUGGCUAGGGAAAAAAUGCAUGUUGUAUAAUUUGGUAUUCGAUUUAGUUCCAACUCUUUCCAAUUUUAAGCAAGGAUGAUAUACAUUAGAUUAUUUAUUUGCCUUUUUUAAAAGAUAUUAGGAUUUGAAUUUUUUAAAGAAAGGGUUUUACGUUUAUAAAUAUGGUAAAAGUAUCACAAUGUUUAUAACGACUGUUAAAAUAUAUUUGUAUAUUUAAAUUUAGUCUUCAAUUUUUAUAUAUUUAUAUAAUUUGAUUUAUUCUUUUAUUGAAAGUAAAUUAAUUUGAUUUAUUCUUUUAUUGAAAGUAAAUUAAAAAAUUUCGAAUCUAGUUGCCUGGCUAGCAAAUUAAAAAAAAAAUUCUAAGCUCUCAUAAAUUUUUAAAAAAUUAUAAAUUAAUUGUUAAAAAUUUAGAAUUAAAUUUUUUUAUUAAAGCAUUAAAAAGUUUCUAAUUUUAAAAUUAUAAAAAUUUGGUGUGAACAUAUUAAAAGUUUCUUAUUAGUUUUAUAAUUUUAAAAUUAUAAAAUUUAUAUAAAAAAUUAAUUUUUGUAAUUUGUUUAUAAUUUUUAUGAUUUUUAAUAUUUUUAAAUUUUAAAAGUGUAAAUGAUUUUUUAAAAUUUGUUACUAAAGUCUUUUUGAUCCUUUAGUUUUGUUAGUUUAAAAAUUACUUCCAAUAAAAAAAAUAUGAGUCAAAUUGAAUACAUGUGUAAAAGUUAAUGAUUGAAUUUGUUAUUAUACCUUAUAUAUAAAUAUCAUAUUUUAAUAGAGAGGUGGCUUUGCUCACUCAUCUAACAUAAAACGGCCAAUUUGCACAUUUAUUUAGUAGAAAGGCUAAAAUGCAAUCCAAUGUAUAAUACAAGAGAUUUUGUGAUACUUUUAUCAUAUUUAUAAUAAAAUUGAUAAAUACAGAUACAUAUUCAAAUAACUAUAAAAUAGAAUCAAAUUAGUCAACAUCCUCUAAAUCUAAUGACAAAAACAUUUAUGUCGUGACAGGAGAGCUUAGGUUGAAUUACUAGCAACUCCAUUCUUACCCUCAAUUAUUAAAAAAAUAGAAUCAAAUUAUUUACAGAUGAAGAAUAAAAAUGGAUAUGGAGUGAAGGGUGAGUAUUUGUUCCACGUAAAAAUAUAUGGUACACUAUUUUUAGAAAAAGUAUAUAUAUGGUACACUAUUUUUAGAAAAAAUAUAUGAUAAUUUUUUAAAACUGCUUGUAAUAAAAAAAUAAUACACCACACCGUACUAAUACCUUUUUUUUAUUAAUUAAAAUAGUUGGAUUUGAUUGCUUUUUAGAAUGCAAAAUUACCGAAAGGAAGUGUGGAAUACUUUGGAGGAUAAAUUUUUGGAAAGAAAGUUUGAGAUCCGAGUUCAACAAAAGGAACUCUCUUUGAACUGUGACCAUAAGAGGUAUUGGAAAAUCAUGGUUUCAAACAAAAUUGGAGUGUCUAAAUAUCAGAUACUCUUAAGAGAGUUCUACAUUUUAUAUGAUGACAACAGAUUUGUUUCCCAUCAAACAUAUAUCCCAUUUCUUCCAUCUUUCAAUUACAAAAGAAAUUAAACCUCAAAUUUAAUCUCUUGUAAUAGGAGUUAGAUUAUAUUUUACUUAAUUAAUAUAUGUUUGAUCAAAGAACAAAUUAAUCAGACAGUGACACAAAUGGAUUAAUUUGUUCUUUAAUCUAAUGUAUAACGGUUAAUUUACUUAUGUUUUGAGUAAAAGAGACAAAAUAUAAUUUAACUCUUAAUACAAAUAUUUUCACGAUACUUUACCCAUUUUUUUUAUUUAACAAAUCAUGUUAUGUUCCCUCUUCUUUCACGUUUUAAUCCUCCAAAUUGGUAACACUAUUAUUGUAGAGAAAAUUUAUCCCUCAAAGAACCGACUUUUCUCAAAUCAUGAUCUUUUCUAUAGCAUUGGCAAGAGUUCUAGAGAGGUCUACAUUUUGGAGUCAGAUGGCCAUCUUUCAUGACUUCAAAAAGGAAAAUGAAAAACACUUUUUCCAUGGAUUAAAAAAAGGGUUUCACAUGAUUAACCAUUUGCUACUCCCCCCCCCCCCCUUUUUUUCUUAAUUUUGUGGACGGUAAUGUGAUAAAGUCACAUGAAUUAAAUGCUCAAGAGGUUGCCUUUUUCCUUCUUUUCUUCACCACUAUUUAGCACAUUUUUCAUCUCCACCUUCCUUAAUAUAUAUUUUAUUGAAGUUUUAAACAAAAUGUUAUUCUAAUAAAAAAAUAUUUUUACAUGAUGUGCUGGAAAAUUUUUUGUAAAAAAUUCUACAAUAGCUUUCAAAAUUAUCUAAUAAAUUUACGUUCAUUGGAAUGUUUUUUUAUUACAUGAUCACCAUAUAUUUAACAAAAAAAUUUAAAAUAUCACUCCAACAAAUUUAAUAAAUAAUUUUAUUGGUAUUAAGAAUUGGAAUUGAAUUGGUAAAUCUAAAAACUCGAGGGUUUUAACCCUCAAACACGAACACUAUUAAAAUGUCCUAAACCUUAAACUUUUAUCCCGCAAACCCUAAUGUGCCUCCUAAAAACUCUAAAAGAAAAACUUUAAACAGGUUCAGUAGAGAUAAUGAGAAAACACGUCUAGUUGAAAGUGUCUUGUUGACAGAAUAGAAAAGCACAUCUACCUGGCAACGUUUUCUUACAACUUACGUUAAAAACGCGUUCAGUUUAACACGUUUUCAAAAAUCGACAUAAUCCUACAAAAUUUUUAAAAAAAACCUACCUAAUCUCAUAAAUAUUUAAAAAAAUGACAUUUUUUUUAUUCAUAUUUGAUAUAUUGAUUGGAUUAGGAUAACUUAACUAUGUGACAAAAAUUAGGUUUUCAAGACAUAAAAGUAGUGGCUGAAAAGCAGAGGCAAUUCUAGGGGGGGCUGGCAUGGGCCCCGGUCCCCCUAAAAUGAAAAAUUAUCAUUUAGGCUCUCGAAAUUUUUUUAAAAAUUUAAAUUAGUAAAGGUAAAAUUGCACUUUGGCCCUCUAAAAUUAUAAAAAUUUGAUUUAAUCCUUUAAAAAUUAUAAAGAUAUAAACUAUAAAAAAUUAAAAUUUCAUUCGGCCCCCUAAAAAAUUGUUCUGACUUCGCCCUACUGAAAAGUAAUAAUGGCAAUGCAGUUUCCAAGAAGCCUCAUGGGAUAAUUUGAACUUUUAUUAUGUUGUCAUUGCACCAAGCGUUACUAACUUAUUAUGAUGGAAGAGUUUAUGGAUCAAAUUAAAUUAGGUGUAGACGAUGUAUUUCGUGUUACUUUUGGCUGUUCGUAAUUUUGUUGACAAUUAAAAUAUUAUUAAUUAAAGAGAUUUUGUUUCCAAAAUCUAUUUAAAAAAAUGCUUUUCCAAUAAAAAAUAAAAGUUUUGUUUUCUAGUAAAAAGCAUUUUUGAGCAUAUAGUUUACUUUCAUAUCUAUUAAAUAAUAAUGUAUUUACAUAUUUGCUAUAUUUAUAUUGUACAAAAUUUCAAGGCCAAUGAGAUUUGAAAAUUUGGAAGAAAUCAAGGAAUUUUAUUUAUCAAAUUAUGAGUUAUAAUCUUUAGAUAAAUCCUUUGAUUUUUUCUUUAAUGGAGAUUCGAUUUAAAGGUUGUCUUGAACUAAUCUUGGAUGAAUUCAAUCCUCUUUAAGAGUUUUCAAGACUUGAUCUUAGAAAUAAGUUUAGAGAGAGUUUGGAACGAAGAGUUUUCGAGAUUUGAUCUUGAAUGGUUGAGUCUGUUUCAAUGGUCAUCAAAGUUUGAUCUUGAAGAGAAAAUUUAUCUCCUUUGUGUUGAUGCCAAGGAACUAAGAGGAGGUUUAAUCUAAGGGUUAUUUAUACUUGAGCGUGGAUGGAUGAUUCCACUUCAACAGGAUCAAAGAGUAGCUUUCUUUAGAACUAAUGCAACAUUCUUUAUAAUUUCUUUGAGUUGUUUGAUUUCUUCAGAGAUUUAUGAGAGAACUUCUAGUUUUCAAAACCUUUUCGUCGGGCUUCGAUUUCUAAACUUUCAGAUUUAUGAACUUGUGAAGUUUUGUUGAAUGCGUGGAGGUGGCCCUCUUUUAUAGUAUUAGCUAGACAAGUAAAAGAUAGCUCUUAUAGAAUAUAAUCUCUUCAUUUGAGUGAUCUACAAGGCAUAAGCUAUUUUAUUUAUUAUUUAUAAAGAAAAUGAAUUCUCUAUAAAAGGAUUUAAAUGUUUUAUUUUAUCUCUUAAUUUAAUUAGAGGUAAAUCUUAUUGGUCCAAAACUUUUCCUUCUACAUAUAUAAAUUAUAUUUUAUUUUAAACAAAAUUUACUAUACAAUUAUGACAUAUUUAUAAAGUAUGGGAUUAUUAAUAUAGGGAAUAAAUAUUAAAAUUAUACAUGAAGUUUGAUCUAAUAUACAAUUAUAUUCAUGAAAUUUUGAUUGUGUUUCAAAUGUAUACACUAAACUUAGAUUUUGAUUCAAUUAUAUACAUUUAAAGAAAUAAAUACAUUAAUUUAUUUAGUAUAAUUAUUUGUGUAUACAUUAUGUAAAUGUAAAAUGUUGCUAUAUUGUCAAUAAUGUUGGUGGCUUGUGAAAAUUGCACAAAAUUAAACUUCAUGUAUAACAUUACAAAUUGGGUGAAAAUUCAUGUUCAAUUUUGAGAUUUAUCCCUUAAUACAAAAAUAAUGUUAGAAUGAAAUGAUUUUAAAGAGCAUAUUUAUAUAGGUUUAAUACUAUUAAGUUAUUCAAUUAUCAUUACAAAUAAUCUAAUAAUAUUAUUUCUAGCAUGAUGUCAUUUUGAGACAUUUUGUCUUCCCAUAAUAAUGUCAAACCCUAAAAAUCUCACAACACAUGUUAUAUACAUUUUCCCCUAAUUGAAUUUUUUAACAAAAAUAGUAAUACUAAUGGUAUCAAUAUCUUAUCUAAGCUUGAUUACUUUCAAUUUGAUGUUCAUGGCAGUCCAUUUCACUUUUGAUCUUCACAAACGAAUUUACUCGCCGGCUUCAAUUUCAUACAUCCAGUUUUCCAUCUUCAUUUGGAGUCCCAAAUCUCAUCUUUACCUUGCUUACCCAAAAUCUUCCAUCUUUGCCUUAGAUGGAAAAUAGUCAUAGUUGAUACGUCAUCAGAAAUCUGAUUUUCCAUGGCUACAGCUCCAUUUUUCACCGUAAUUUCGAAAACAUUAAUAAGAAAAUUGAAACAAAUAAUAAUAAUAAUAAUAAUAAUAAUAAUAAUAAUAAUCGUCAAUGGUUUUAAGUGGUGUACAACAUUUUCCCUUAAAAGGCUUUAAUAUAUUGUCCAAAUACAACAAAACUUUCAACCCUCCAAGUAGAAUAGUGAAAAUGACUAAUAGGAAGAUCUUUUAUAUAGAUAUAAAAUAGAUGUAUUUUUCCAUAAUAUUCCUUUCAUAAUGAUAUAUAUAUAUAUUUUAAUGAGAUACCCUUCCAUGAGGACAGGGAUGUAUCCAGGAUUUUACUCUAAGGGAGACGAAACUUCUAAAUUUAAACGACAUUUUAUUUUUAAUGUAAAAAAAGUGCCAAUUCUUCUUGGAUACUUGUUCUUCUCAUCAAAUAAAUCAAUUUAAUAUAUAUUUUUAAAAAGCAUGAAUGAUUUAACUGUAAAAAAAAUAAAAAAAAAACUCACACUAUAUAAAAUUAAGCAUUUCUUUCCAAUAUGCAAAAAAGAAUAACUAAUAUAUACCAUACAAAAAAUUUCAUAAAUAUCAUUAUAAUUCCAAAAAUUAAAUUAAGAAACUUGGCCUUAGUCCUAUUUCUCAAUACUAGGAAUCCUAAAUUGUACUCUUCGCUUUUUCAUAAGAUCAAACUCAUCAAUGAUAGAAUCUGUUGAAAAUUCUCGAGCUAUCUCUUUUUCGAUGUAUGCCACCAAGUAAGUUGAAAGAAAAUCAUCCUCCAUUCUGUUGCGAAGUCAUGUAUUCACAAUUUUCAUUGCUAAAAAUGUUCGUUCGAUUGUUGUAGCAAACACGGAAAGAGUUUGUCGAAACCACUUUUUGAAAAAAAAAAUUAGAGUAGACUUAAGGAAAUGAAAAUUGGAGUCGCCACCGAUCUUUUAUUAAGGUGUGACCGGAUCACCUUAAAAAUGAUUUUGGUCUAUGAAUUUCAGAAAGAAUGGAUUUGGGAGUCAGUUAUGUACGAGGAAGGAUUAGCACCCUCGUAACGUCCAAUAUUGGUACCGUAUUCACUAGUUAAUGUCUUAAAGUCGAAUGUCGAAAGUUUUAAAAGAUUAAAAAUGAUUCCCCUUUUAUUAAUGACAUAUUUUUUCAAAGAAAAAAAAACGUUUGGAUAAAUUUGAAUGAGUGUAAAAGACUUUCUUAUCUCGAGGAAACAAAAUGUCGUACCCCGUAAGUUAGGAUGCAACAUUUGAAUCCUCAAAAAUAAGCUAACCUUCAAAAACUUUAUUGAAAUUUAACGAUUUUGAAAAAUAAGAAAUGUUUAGCCUUUUUAGUUCGACGAGAAAAUCGAAACCCCGUAAGUUAGGGUACGAUCCCUCGAAGUUCCAAAGACAACAUGUAGUUUGCUUUUAACUUUAUUAAAGAAAACAUGUUUUUGAAAAUAAAAAAAGGUCAUUUUAAGUUAACAAGAUAAUCGAGACCCCGUAAGUUAGGGCACGAUUUCUCGAAACUUCGAAAAGUAUUAUAAAGCCGACUCAAAAUGUAUUUAAUUGAUUGGCUUGACAUAAAGAAAAAAAAAGUAAUAAUGAUCACAUACAUUGGAAUUUGGCUUACGAUACGAUAACGAGAAAUAAGAGCGUAAUUGUAUACAUGGCAUAAUAAUACAUAGCAAGAAUAUAAAUAACAUGUAAAUACAAAAUAACAAAUUAAGGUAUACAUAUAUAUAUUAGUCUAAAUAAAUAAUACAUAUGGAAUGAAAGACUCAAAAUAGAUAAUAAUAUAUAUUAUAAUAUGUGUAAAGAGUUGAAAUAAGUAAAAUAAAAAAAUAGAGAAUUUAAAAGAAAUAAAGUAUAUAUAUAUAUAUAUAUAUAUAGAAAAAUAGGUAAAAAUAUAUAAUUUGAAUUCAAUAGUAUAUUAUGUAUGUAUGUAUGUAUGUAUAUAUGUAUGUAUGUGUAAUGAAAAUAAUUUAAUAUAAAUUGUGUAUAUAUACAAAAGUAGUAUUGUAUAAGAAUAUUAUCAUAUAAUCUUUACAUAUGAAAUAUAUAAAAAAGUGGAUUUUAAAAAUAUAUUAUAAAAUAAAAAUUGUUAAAAAUAUAUAUUAUAUUGGAUUAAUAGGAAGAAAAUAAAAUAAUUCAUUAUAGAAUUAAAUAAUAAUGUAUGAUAAUAGUAUAUAUAAAAAAAGUUUAAAAUAAUAAUAAAUAAUAAAUUAAAUUAUUUUUCCAAAAUUCAAUUCACCAAGAAUAUAACUCCAUAAAUAUUUAAUAAAAAUAUUUAUGAUUUCAAUUUAUGAAAUCGGAGUCCCGAAAUCGAAUUUUUCCAACACCAUUGACUUUCGGAUCGUUACAUCAAAAUACAAGAAAGUCACUAACCUAAUAUGCAUGAGUAUGAGCAAAAUCAAUUAAUUGUAGAAUUUGGCUUUAAAGUCCAUAUUGAGCCUUUAAGUUUAGUCUUUUAAGGCCCAUCAUACAUUAUUAUUAUUAAAGUUAUAUAAUUAAAACUGAAAAAUACUUUAUUAAUAUAAAGUAUAAUCUUACGGCUUAAGGGGCGAAUUAUAUGAAAUAUAAUUUGGCCAAGGGGACGAAUGUUUUACAAUGUGGACACCAAAUCUAAAAUACAUGAUAAUUUAUAUAUAUAAUUCAAAAAUCUGAAAAUUCCAAGGGGGUGACUACCCCCCACGCCCCCUGGAUCCAUCAUUGCAUAAGGGCUUGUUGUUUCAAAAGAUAACUUUACUUAAAAGCUAUGUCCAAAUAACUUUAUUGAUAGUUUGUCUAGUGGGGUUGUGUAGGGGCGAAGCUAGAAAAUUUUUUAGAGGGGCUGAAAUUAAAUUGUAUAUUUGUAUGAUAAUACAAAUACAAAUUUACCAUUUUAAUAUCUUAUAUCUUAAUAAUUUUUAAAGGGUUAAAUCAAUUUUUAAUCAUUUCUGGGAGCUAAAGUGCAAUUUUACCAUUACAAAUUUAAAAUUUUAAGGGGCUUAAUUUUCCAUUUUAGGGGAGGUUGGGGCCUCUACCAGCCCCCUUGGAUUUGCCUCUGGGGCUAUGGAAAGAGAUAUGGGCACAACUGUAUGAAAAAGAUAAACACAAAAAAUGUUUACGCAACUCAGACUUAUGUAUAUGGGGCCUUGCUCAGAUAAUGUAAUGCCCCGAUUUAUUUAACUUUGUUUUUAUGAAUUUUGUCAUAAAUGAGUAUUUAUUUCAGUGGUUAAGUGAUUUGAGUGAGUACUUAAGGUCUUGGGUUUAAGUCCCACUUUUGGAAAAUAUGCUAUUUUUGAUCCUAGCCUUAUCUUUAGUGGUUUGCCUUAUAUUUUACUUCCGGGCAACUCAUAUUAGAAUGAGUUUGCUAGUUCAGGUGGUAAUGUGUUAGCCUGCCCUACGGUCUUGUGUUUGAACCCUUUGUGUGAGCAAAGAAUGUUAAUUUUUGCUUCUAUGAGUGUGUGCCAGUUGUGUAGUAAAAGUUGGAUGGAACUGAUACUCUAAACUAGUUGGAUGAGGUAGUGGGUUAGAUUCUGUGGGAUUGUGGUUGGUUAGUGGGGGAGUUGGGAUAGUGUUAAUUUUAUUUUAAUUUUGUUUUUUUCCAAAAUUCCUUUCCAGUUUCAUGUUCUUCACUCAACUCCCAUGUACAUUUCUUCUUCUUCUUCUUCUUCUUCUUGUCUCUCUUAUUUUUAUUGGAAUUAAUUCUGUAAAUAUGUAUGGUAGUUUUUGAGUAUAUCUCUUUUCUUUUAAUUAGGAGAUUAGAUGCUAAAGUUUAGGAGAUAAUAUUUUGGUUUAAUUAGGAGAUUAGAUGCUAAAGUUUAGGAGAUAAUAUUUUGGUUUCUAUAUUUGUAUUUUAUCAUGUAUAUAUGUUCUUGAUUUUGGGAGGAAUGAGAGACAGAGAAAAUUCCCACAAUUCUUGUUAUUUUUUCAUGGUAUCAGAGCAGGUUUUGAACGUGUAAAUUUUUGCUAAUGGCUGGUGGGAAAGGUGAUUCCGGUCACAAAUUCGGUGAAGGGGCGGUUGUGCGAAAAACGAUUUCUCCGUACAAUAUAACCUCGCUUGAUAAUCCUACACUUGCAAUCACUCAAGUACAAUUGAAAGGGGAAAACUAUGAAGAAUGGGCUCGUUCUUUCUGAACGGCGUUGCGUGCUAGGAAGAAGUUCAGAUUUAUUGACGGAUCGAUUAAAAAACCAGAUGAUACAUCAGACAACAUUGAAGAUUGGUGGACCAUUAACUCGUUGCUAGUUUCGUGGAUUCGGAAUACCAUUGAACCAACUCUUCGAUCCACCAUAUCUCAUGUCGAGGUGGCUAAGGAUUUGUGAGAUGAUAUCCGGAGAGAUUUUCAAUGGCCAAUGGUCCAAGAAUCCAACAACUCAGAUCUGAUCUUGUAGAAUGCAAGCAAAAAGGAUUGACUAUUGUAAAUUAUUUUGGAAAAUUGAAACUGAUAUGGGAUGAAUUGGCGAUUUUUGAUCAAUUGCCGACUUGUAAAUGCGGGAAUUGUACUUGUCAACUAUCAGCCGAGUUGGAAAAGCGAUGAGAAGAGGAAAAGUUCACCACUUCCUGAUGGGAUUGGAUGGGACAUAUAGCACGGUUAGAUCCAACAUCUUGGCCAACGAUCCAUUGCCAUCCUUGAGCAAGGCUUAUUCGAUGGUUAUUCAGGAAGAACGAGUGAAGACCAUAUCUCGUGAGAUGGAAGAUCGCCCCGAUGUGAUGGCUAUGGCGGUGCAAAGUCGAGGCAGUGGAGAAAGUAAUGAGAAGGGGGGUUUGUUCCCAUUGCAAACAACCCGGACAUGAUAUUGAUAAUUGUUUUACUAUUAUUGGGUAUCCUGAAUAGUGGGGAAUACAUAUAUAUAUUAGUCUAAAUAAAUAAUACAUAUGGAAUGAAAGACUCAAAAUAGAUAAUAAUAUAUAUUAUAAUAUGUGUAAAGAGUUGAAAUAAGUAAAAUAAAAAAAUAGAGAAUUUAAAAGAAGUAAAGUAUAUAUAUAUAUAUAUAUAUAUAUAUAUAUAUAUAUAGAAAAAUAGGUAAAAAUAUAUAUUUUGAAGUCAAUAGUAUAUUAUGUAUGUAUGUGUAAUGAAAAUAAUUUAAUAUAAAUUGUGUAUAUAUACAAAAGUAGUAUUGUAUAAGAAUAUUAUCAUAUAAUCUUUACAUAUGAAAUAUAUAAAAAAGUGGAUUUUAAAAAUAUGUUAUAAAAUAAAAGUUGUUAAAAAUAUAUACUAUAUUGGAUAAAUAGGAAGAAAAUAAAAUAAUUUAUUAUAAAAUUAAAUAAUAAUGUAUGAUAAUAGUAUAUAUAUAAAAAAAGUUUAAAAUAAUAAUAAAUAAUAAGGUAAUAUAUAUAUAUAUAUAUAUAUAUAAUAGGUAAAUAGAAGUAUAACCAAAUAUAAUAAUGUCAGCAACAAUAAUAAAUAGUAAUAAUAACAAUAAUAAUAAAAAAGUAAUAAAUUAAUUAAUAGCAAAAAUAUCAAACAUGACUAAAUUGAAACGAAAACAGAAAUUCUGGGGCAAAUAUGAAAUAAAUAAAAAUAAAAAGGACCAAAUUGAGUGCACGAAUAACAAAGAGGGACUAAACGGAAAACAUCCCCGCCCUCCUAAAACACAGCACCUUACAUGGAGCAAAAAUGAAAUCAAAGCAAAAUUUUAGGGCAAAAUUUGGAAUAAAAGAAAACUUAAUUGCAAAACCAUUAAAAGGUGGAAAGACCAGGGUUGUAAAUAACCCAUUUAACGAGAACAUGCGGAUCCCCCAUGGAGCAGGUCGGGUAGCACACGGGUGGCCCUAUACGGCGUCGUUUUGGCGCUAAGGGCACUAACUCAAAACGACGCCGUUUUUUAUUGUUAUUUAAACAAAAAAAACUGUUUUUAAAAAAACAUUUUCAGAAGCUAUUUUUUGUUUAAAAAAACAAAAGGGGGCUAUUCUUUGCUAGGGUUUCACAUCCCAACUAGCCCACCGUGCCUCCGCCGCGAUUCCACCGUGAACAGUGGCCGGAGCUGCACCACGAAGGGCCUUUCGCUCCUUUUCGCGCGGAUCCGAAGGCGUCCAAGGUAAACCCUCUUCUUCCCUUUUUAAUAUACAUUUUUUUAUUUAAAAAAAUCGAAACUAAAAGGAAAAAAAAUAGAAUACUACCUUCUAUCUCUCAAAAAAACUCAGAUUACCAGUAAAUCAUUUUUUUGAUUGAUCUUCUCCCUCCCUUUUUACAAUAUCAAGUCUGCUUUUUAUAGCAGAUAAUGGAAAAAGAUAAAUGUAAAAAAAAUCUAAUUUUAAAUGCGUUAUCUACUUGUUCCUUUGGUUUGUGAUUUUUCUGAUUUUCUUGAUGUUUUUUUCCUGCCUGUGCUGUUUGUUGCCAUUUUUGUUGUGCAUGUACAAGCUCGGAGGGGACGCAUGCGCGCGGAGGCGUAGCACGUGUGGGGCAGGAGCUGCGCCUGGAUCUUCUUGGGUUUCUGUUUCGUGGUCUAGGGCUAGGCAUUGGGCCUCUGUAAUUGGGCCACUGUUUAUUAGGUUAGGGAUUUAGAUUGGGUCUUGGUGUAUUUUGAAUUUGGGCUUGUAAUAGGAUUUGGGUUUAGGCUAGCAAUUUUAAUGUAAUUGGAUUGUAUUUGGACUUUGAAUUUUGGUUUUAUUUAUUUAUAUACGGGUCGGGCAAAUUGGGCCAAUUAUAGCUGCCCUUCUUUGCUCGUUGUCGUGUAACGGGAACGGAGCAAAGACUUUAGAUGGCCAAUUUUGCCGGGUCAUGCUGGAUCUUGGUGCUCUUCUUCUUCAAGUAGCCUCAUGCCCACCUAUUGCAUCUUCAGAGGUAUUGGUGCUUCGAUCCACUCCACUGUAACGUUAGGGAAAUAGGAUUUGUAGCUCUUCAAGGGAACAUUUGCUAUCUUCAGUCUGCUUCACUGCAACUUCAGGGAGAUAAGACUUGCAACUUCCACUUGUUUCACUGUAAUUUCAAGGCAAUAAGGUCUGAUUCGAUCUGCUUUACUGCAACUUUAGACAGAUAAGAUCUGUAAUUUAUAGCUUCAACCUGUUCCACUGUAACUUCAGGGGAAUAAGAUUCACUAUCUUUAGUCUGCUCCACUGCAACUUUAGGGAGAUAAGACUUCACUUCAAUCUGCUCCACUGCAACUUCAGGGAGAUAAAACUUGCUAUGGCAGAUUUAAUUCGACCUACAGCAACUUCAGAGGCAUAGGAUUCAUCAUUUUAAUCCGCUCCACUGCAACUUCAGGGAGAUAGGAUUUGUAACUUUAAUCUGCUCCACUGCAACUUUAGGGAGAUAAGAUUCACUAUCUUCAAUCUACUCCACUGCAACUUCAGGGAGAUAAGACUUGUAACUUCAAUCCGCUCCACUGCAACUUCAGGGAGAUAGGAUUAUUGGCUUUAAUCUACUCCACUGCAACUUCAGAGAGAUAAGAUUCGCCAGGAUCUACUCUACUGCAACUUUAGAGAGAUAAGAUUCGCCAGGAUCUACUCUACUGCAACUUCAGAGAGAUAAGAUCUGUGAUUUAUAGCUUUAAUCUGUUCCACCACAACUUUAGGGAAAUAAGAUUUGCUAUCUUCAGUCUACUCCACUGCAACUUCAGGGAGAUAAGACUUCAUUUCGAUCCGCUCAUUGCAACUUCAGGGAGAUAGUAUUAUUGGCUUUAAUCUACUCUACUACAACUUCAGGGAGAUAAGAUUUGUCAUCUUCUUCAAUCUAUUCCACUGCCACUUCAGUGGUAUAGGAUUUGUAGUUUCACCGAUCUGUUUUCAGGGGAACAUGACCUGUAGAAUCCAUUGCAUGGACCUAUUUAUGCCUAAUUAUUAGGAUGUUAUGAUCGGAAUGAGUCAAAAUUUACUAACUAGAUGUUAUGAAUAAAUGGAAAAUGAAGAUGAUCCCUUUUUUUAAUGUUUGGGUUAUCAUUACUUAUUAUUCGUUAAGAUUUCAUCACUGAUGUGUUAUAGAGUUGUCUUGUUCAGCUGGUGCCUUCGACAGAAACCCAAAGAAAAACUCAAUCAGUUUGCCUCAAUUGUUCUUUUGAGACUUGAGUUUUGGGCUAUCCUUCUUCCACUAUAACCCAGGGAUACAAGAUCUGACUCUUUUCAAACCUCUUUUAUCGCAAUUCAAAGGCAUAGUAUAAGAAUCUUCUUCCCUCAUUUUAGUCAUUUACACCAUUCCUAGGAUGUCGUGACCAGGUAUUUAUGCACGAGUAUAGAAAUUUUUCUAAGAAUAACUUCUUCUUAUUGUUUGGCGAUCGAAGCUUUAUCACCGGCACAAUAUUUUGUUUAAUAAAUAUUUUUGACAACAAAAUUCGAAGAGAUAGUCUUAAUUUAGACUUUUUCUUUUUAGAUAUUUCAACUUUUAAACUUGGUGCAUUCUAAAUAAUAGUCCUAUUUCAACUUCCUGUAUUAUUUAGAAACUUCUUAGAGUAAUAUGCAAAACUUCAUUUGAGAAAGUAUUAUUAGUCCAUUAAUCAUUAUUCUAAUGCAACACACUUGCAAAAGAUCAUAUCAAUGGAUAAAAAUUGAAUUGAUUUGGGAGCAUGGCUCGAAAUGAAUAAAUUGUCAAGGAUAGUAAAAAUAAAAAAAAGGGAAUUAAGUGGGAACAUGUAUCUUGAAAAAGAAUGAAGUAUUCCAAGAACAACAAAUUCAAUAUAAAUAGUAUGAAGACUAGGUGCCCCAAAUAUCGCAGCUUGAACUUCUCUGCACAACUUUCUAAAGACCAUUCUGAGUUUGACAUGUGUUUAGGAGAUCUAAGUACUUUGUCAAUGCUCCAAGAUAUCGCCUACCUUUUCCUAUUGAUUCAAGUAUAGCAAGAUCACCACAUGCGCCAAUUUGAUCAAAAUUUGAGCUGCUCUGAUCACCUCAUGUCCCAUUCUGAUCAAAAUUUGAGUCACCUUUUUUGGGUUUUCAACUCAAAUCCCCUUUGGUCUCAAGGUGCCUUUUGCAGGUUUUCACAUUGGCCUCUCAUUUUUUUAAAGAACUCAAGGCACCCUUUGCGAGUUUUCACUUUAAUCCAUUUUCUUUCUUCAGGUGAAGUAUUUCUUAAAUGAGUCCGAGUUUACAGGAUUUGGCAAGUUUUUACCAUCCAUCUCGCUCAAAAUCAAAGCUCCUCCAGAAAAGACCUUCUUUACAACAUAAGGUCCUUCAAAAUUUGGAGCCCACUUCCCUCUAAAAUCCUUUUGUAGAGGAAGGAUCUUUUUCAACACCAAGUCCCCCUCGUGGAAUUCUCUGGGACGAACCUUUUUGUUAUAGGCUCGUAUCAUUUGUUUCUGGUACAUCUGAUCGUGAUGAAUAGCUUUUAGUCUUUUUCCUUCUAUCAGGUUCAACUGAUCAUAUCGAGAUUGUAUCCAUUCGACCUCAUCCAACUUUAGUUCAAUUAAUACCCGGAGAGAAGGGAUUUCAACUUCAAUGGGUAAAACUGCCUCCAUCCCUUAAACUAGAGAAAAAGGCGUUGCCUCGAUAGAAGUCCUGAUAGAUGUUUGAUAGGCAAGGAGAGCAAAUGGUAAUUUCUCAUGCCAGUCAUUACAAGUUUCAGCCAUUUUCCCCACAUUUUUCUUGAUAUUUUUGUUGGCCGCCUCUAUUGCACCAUUCAUUUUUGCGCGAUAUGGUGACGAAUUAUAGUGUCUGAUCUUGAAUUGACUGCAGACUUUCGCUAUUGUGCUGUUAUUCAAAUUCAGCGCAUUGUCAGAUAUGGUUCUUUCAGGCAUUCCAUAUCGACAUAUGAUCUCUUUUUUUAAGAACUUACUGAUUGCUGACUUCGUGACAUUAGUAUAUGAAGCCGCUUCUACCCAUUUAGUGAAAUAGUCAAUAACCACAAAGAUGAAACGGUGCCCAUUAGAAGCCUUCGGCGAUAUUGGCCCGAUGACAUCUAUACCUAACAUGGAGAAAGGCCAUGGAGAAGUCAUAACGUGAAGAUGUGAAGGAGGUGCGUGCAUUUUGUCCCCAUAAAUUUGGUAUUUAUGGCACUUCUUGACAUAAUUGAUGCAACCUCUUUCCAUGGUGGACCAGUAAUACCCGAAUCUCAUAAUCUGUCUAGCCAUGGUGAAUCUGUUGGCAUGUAUUCCGUACCCUCAUGGAUUUCUUCCAAAAUUUCCUUGAUCUCCACAGCGUCCACACAUCUCAAUAGUACUUGAUCCUUUCCCCCUUUUGUAUAAAAUCUCUCCAUCUAAGACAUAGUCAAUGGCUAGUCUCUUUAAUGUCCUCUUAUCAUUCUUCGUUGCCUGAUUAGGGUACUCGUAAUUCUUCACAUAUUGCAAUAUAUCUUGGUACCAAGGAUGGUUAUAAUUUUCCUCUUCCUCAAUAAUAUAACAAUGAGCCGGGGUUUCAUAAAUGCUGAUUUGAAUAGGCUUCAUGCCUUCUAGUUUGUUCAUUUUGAUCAUGGAGGCUAGGGUAGCCAGAGCAUCAGCCAUCUGAUUUGCUUAUCGUGGGAGAUAACAAAAAGUGAUACUGUCAAACUUUUCGAUCAACUCCAGAACCAAUCUCUGAUAACGGAUUAACUUUGGGUCUCUAGUUUCCUAUUCCCCUUUGACCUGGUAUAUUACCAAUGCCGAGUCCUCGUAUACCUCUAUUAUCUUAAUUUUUCACUCUAUGGCUGCCUGGAUGCCCAUGAUGCAAGCUUCAUAUUCAGCCAUGUUAUUAAUACAAUCAAAAUCCAAUUUACUAGUAAAAGGAUAAUGAUCUCCAUUUGGGGACACAAGGACUGCCCCAAUCCUAUUACCUACAAACUUUGAAGCUCCGUCGAAAUUUAACCUCCAAGGAUGAUUCUCUUGAGAAUCUUCUUCAGUAGUUGUCACACACAUCAAGUUUUCAUUUGGGAAAUCAAAAUCCAGAGGUUCAUAAUCUUCUAAAGCUCUGCUGGCCAAAAAGUCUACUAUCCCACUCCCUUUGACAGCCUUCUGAUUUACAUAUACUAUAUCAAACUCGGAGAGCAAAAUCUGCCAUCUAGCCAUCUUCCCAUUCAACACAGUUGAGUCUAUCAUAUACUUUAAAGGGUCUAACUUUGAAAUUAGCCAAGUCGUAUGGUAUAGCAUGUAUUGCCUCAAUCUCCGUGUUGUCCAGAUCAAGGCACAACAUAAUUUUUAAUAGGUGAAUAUCUCAUUUCACAAUCAGUGAAUUUCUUACUGAGAUAGUAUAUCACCUUUUCUUUCCUUUCAGUCUCAUCAUGCUGGCCCAACACACAUCCCAUGGAAUUAUCAAACACCGUUAAAUACAAAAUCACCGGCCCAUCCGAACUAGCUAGUGACAGCACUAGAGUAUUGGACAAGUAUUGUUUUAUCUUGUCAAAAGCUUUCUGGCAUUCUUCACCCCACACACCUGGAUUAUGUUUCUUCAAAAGACGAAAUACGGGGUUACAUUUCUCGUUCAGUUGUAAAAUGAACCGAGCAAUGUAAUUCAGUCUUCCUAAGAAACCUCGACCUUCUUUCUGAGUACGUGGUGGAGGCAAAUAUCGUGUCGCCUUGACUUUGUCUGGAUCGAUCUCGAUUCCUUUUUCACUGACUAUGAAGCCCAACAGCUUUCCUAACUUGGCUCCGAAAGUGCAUUUCGUUGGAUUAAGCUUGAGCUGGAACUUUCUCAGUCUUAAGAACAAUUUUCUCAAGACCUGCACAUGUUCCUCUUCUGUUCUGGAUUUUGCAAUCAUAUCAUCAACGUAAACCUCAAUUUCCUUGUGCAUCAUGUCAUAGAACAAGGCUACCAUGGCUCUUUGAUAUGUCGCUCUUGCAUUCUUUAAUCCGAAUGACAUCACCUUAUAGCAAAAUGUUCCCCAUAAGGUAAUGAACGUGGUCUUUCCCAUAUCUUCAGGAUGCAUCUUUAUCUGAUUAUAUCAGGAGAAACCAUCCAUAUAGGAAAACAGUGAAUGACCCGCCGUAUUAUCCACUAAAGUGUCAAUAUGAGGCAAUGAGAAGUUGUCAUUUGGGCUGGCCUUGUUCAAGUCUAUGUAAUCCACACAUAUUCAUACUUUCCUAUAUUUUUUAAGGACUGGGAUGAUGUUGGCUACCCAUUCAAAAUAUUUGACCUCUUGUAAAAAACCAGCAUCAAACUACUUUUUGACUUCCUCCUUUAUUUUAAGCACAAUAUCAGGACUCAUCCUUCUGAGCUUCUGCUAAACUGGCUUGCAAUCCUCUCUUAUAGGAAGGCGAUGCAUUACAAUGUCAGUGCUUAACCCGGGCAUAUCCUGGUAUGACCAUGCGAAGAAAUCUUUCAAUUCUUGGAGUAAUUCAACGAGGUAUCACCUUGUCUUUGUGGAAAUAUCAAUUCCAAUCUUCACCUCUUUUCUUUUUUCUAAGCUCACAAUUUCUAUUGAUUUCUUGUGAGGUAGGAUUUGUUUUUCUUCCUGUUCUACCAUCCUCAACAAGUCCGGAGAUAAAUCACAAUCUACGUCAUCUUCAAAGUCGUGCGAUCCCUCUAAAUACAUGUUUCGUUCAAAAGGAAAUUCAGAAUUUGUAGCAGCGUUACUCAUGUCAUCGAUAUUCAAGGACCUAUUGUAGUUACAAAAGAAUAUACAAAGAAUGUAUGAAUUUAUGAAUAAUUAUUUGUACAGUAUGAUUAUGAAUGAAAGAAUGAUUUAAAAGAAAAUCCAAAAAAAAUUAAAGAAUUAAAAAUAAUUUCUCGUAUGGAAAGAAUGAAAGAAUAUUUGCUCAGAAUGAUUGCAAAUAUGUACUUCAUUAAAAUAAUGAUGUUUCGACAUGAGCCCAUUUCACAAAAGAGUUCUUAUUGUCUCUAGGCUAAAACAAAAAGUGUGUUCUAAAUAUUACUUUAAGAAAGCUCUAAAAACAUCAGGUAUUUCUUCUACGGUCCAAUUAUUUAGAACACUCCCAGGCUCAUAAGGACGUAUAUCUAACAAGGUCCAUUCUUCAUUUGUGUCUUCAUGUAUGGCAUUGAUGUGAACAUUUUCCAACAUCUCUUUGAUGCUUUCUUCCAACAGUAUCCUUCUCUUAGGAUGAAUGAUGCCUCCAGAUACAAAGGUUUUGGAUAUGUGGGGAUUUAUCAUUGGUUCCUAUUUAAUUACCUCCCCAUUUAGGCGUGCCAUUCUUCUUUCUUGCCUUCUUUCUAACUCCUUCUUUCUUUGUCUUAUAUCUGGCUUGUAUCCUAAGCCAAAGCGAUCUUGUUUUUCUUUUAGCACUGGUGCCUCAAUUCUUCCUUGAAGAUGUCUCUCUAAUCCUCUUCCGGGUAAGGCUCCUUUCCCUACCAACAACUGUAACCCCAUCUCUGUGGUUUUGGAUAUUUUAGGCAUUGGAAUUUUGUUCCCCUUAGAAAUAAAUGUUGCAUUUACAAACUCUAAAGAUAGAAAGGACCAUUCAACUGCCUCAUCAUUAGUUUCCACGUACAGCGCAUAAUUGGCUACAGCCGCUAUGAUAUCCUCUUUGGCAUUUAUUGUCACCAACCGACCUUCUGACACUAGUUUCAACUUCUGAAGUAAUGAUGACGGUACAGCCCCCGCCGAAUGUAUCCAUGGUCUUCCUAAUAAGUAGGAAGGCUUGAUAUCCAUUACAAAGAAAUCCACCUCGUAGAUAGUCAGACCAAUUAAUAAGGGUAUUUCGAUUCUUCCCAUGACCUUCCUUUUUGUGCCAUCCAAUGCCCUCACUAUAUUCUGGCAUGUCUUCAUGUGCGAGCUAUCCACGGGCAGUCUGUUAAGUGUGGAUAGGGGCAAUACAUUCAAUGUUCAUCCGUUGUCGAUGAAAACUCUUAGCAAAGUAUACCCUUUGCAUCGGGUAGUAAUGUGCAAAGCUUUAGUAGACCCCAUACCCCCAGGUGGUAUUUCAUCAUCGUUGAAGAAAAUAAAGUUAUCUGCACUUAUAUUAUUGACCAGCCGAUCUAAUUUAUUGACAGAGAUAUCAUUGGCCACUUAGGUUUCAUUCAGCACUUUCAUCAAUGCACUUCGAUGCACCUCUGAGCUCAAGAGUAAGGCUAACACAGAUAUGCGAGCUAGUUGUUUAUGCAGCUGUUACACAACACUAUACUCGCUAUGCUUCAAGAAUUUAAGGAAUUCCUUGGCUUCUUCCUCUUUUACUAGCUCGUUGAUAGGUAACACAGGCUCGGUUGUUGUCCUCUUCUUUUGUUCUGUCACUAUGACCUUUCCUUUAAUAGGUUCUGUUUGAGGACUUAUCAAAUCAUAGUGUUUGCCACUACGCGUAUGAGAACCUAUACCCUGAUCCUCUUUUGCAGCAUUGGCUAAAGUCUCCCUUCCUAGGAUGGUUACGUUGCACUUAUAGUUCCACGAGACUUUCUUGCUAUCCUUGUAAGAGAAGGUUGCAGGUUUCUGAAUUAUGAUUUUUAGCAUUACCGGUACUCCCACUUCAUUAUUCUUUGGUCGCGAGAUGAUGACCAUAGGAUGAUUUACUUUCGGAACCUUUGUCAUUGAUUUCGACGCGCAUAUACUUCGUUCUUCAUUGACUUCUUCGUAGAACUCUACUUCCUUAUCAUCCAUCAUGCCUUGAACCAAGACUCUGAAUUCUAUGCACUCUUGGAUCUUGUGCCCUUCUCCGUGAUGGAACUAAUAAUAAUUUCUCGUCUUUUUGUAGCUCCCUUUUAAAUUCAAAAUGAUUAACCCCCUUUCUACCAUCUUCUUCCAGACCCAUAUCAAAUGAGUUCUUACUUCUGUAAUGUCUGCCUUAAUUCUUCUCCCCAUGUUUCCACUCAUCAUGUUUACCCCAUUAUCAGUAUGAUUAGGUAAUGGAUUUUUUGCACUGGAUGAAUUAUCAAAUUUGACAAUGCCCAUACUAAUGAGCUUUCAACCAGCGUUUUAAAGGCAGUGCAAUUUUCUAUGGAAUGCCCCAUAAUUCCCGUAUGAUAGUCGCAUUGUGCAUUUACAUCGUACCAUUUGGGGUACGGAGGUUGUAGAGGUUUUAAGUAGAAAGGGGAAACAACGUGUGCAUCGAAUAAACUUUAAUACAACUCCCUAUACGACAUUGGAAUUGGCGUGAACUCGAGCUUCUCAGUGUUUUUUCUUGUGUCGAAUUCUUGUCUUGAUGAACCUUGUUGGUUAGCAGCCACCUUUCUUACCUGAUUCACCGUAAUCGAUUUUAAGUAACCCUUUCUAUAUGUACUCAUAUUGUUCACAUUAUUUUCCUUUUUCUUCGAGGCCGACCUUCUGUUACUUUCUCCAGCAUCAAUCUUCCCACUCCUUAUGGCGUUUUCAAUCAUUGCACCAUUCAUGACUAUGUCAGAAAAACUUUUUGUGGCACUUCCUAACAUAUGUAUGAUAAAUGGGGCUUUCAGUGUGUUAAUAAAGAGUAUUGUCAUUUCUCUUUCCAGGAGCGAUGCUGAACUUAGAUGGCAACCUCCCUCUACCUUUGUGCGUAUUGCCUAAAACUUUCAUUCGACUUCUUUUCCAUAUUUUCUAGGGUGAUUCUAUCAGGAAGCAUAUCUGUUACGUGACUGUACUACUUCAUGAAUGCUUGUGCUAAAUCCCUCCAUGAACUAAUCCUGGUACGGCUCAAUUGAUUGUACCAUUUAGAUGCUACCCCUGUGAGGCUAUCUUGGAAGCAAUGUAUUAGCAGUUGGUCGUUAACAUAUCCAGUCAUCCGUCUACAAAACAUGGUAAUAUGAGCUUCAAGGCAACUGGUCCCAUUGUACUUCUCAAAUUCUAGCAUUUUGAAUUUGUAAGGGAGUACCAAAUCCGGGACCAAGCUCAGAUUUUUAGCAUCAAUCCCAUGGUAGCUCUCAGUGCUUUCCAUUGCCCUGAAUUUUUCUUCGAGCCAUUUACACCUUUCCUCUAGCUGUUUUUGCAAUUCCUCAUUUGUUUUUUCUUUUUCAUCCAUUUCAUCGAAUUUAAGGAUAGUAGGAUUAAUAGUGUUAUCUCCAGGGUUAGAGCCUGAUCCGCCUUGAAAGCUCAUUGGUGUUGAGGCACCGACCUGAAACUACUGAGGCCUGAUUGUGACAGAGGAUUUACGCGGGUACACCUCAGCUUGGGUCUGCACAUGUGGAGGAGUAAAGCCUGGGGGAUACAGAGGUCCCUCAUUGUUUCAUUCUUCAACAUUAGCCAUAGGGCCCUUUCCUUUAUUAUUUCCCCCAGCCAACAAUUGAGUCAACUGAGUCAUCAUGUUUCUUUGAGACUCCAACAUUUUGUCCAUCAUAUCUUGCUGAAUCUUAGCUAGCUGCUCUUGCAUUUGCAGCUGAAGUUGGUCUUGCAUUUCAUUUUGGAACAGUUCAAGUCUUUCCAAUCUUUGGUCCAUGUCUUUGGUUUUUGCUCGAGUACCGUAACGAUGUUUGUUUGGUUGGUUGGUUUCCAGAUUAACUGAGGAAUUAUUUUAAUCAAUUAGGAUCUUUUAAUAGUAUUUAAUGCAUAUGAUGCAAUGCAACGUAUGAAAUGAAUGCAAAAAAGGCGUCAAUUCUGAUUCAUUUCCAUUUAGAAAACUUUACUAGAAAAUAAAUUUCUUUACAUAAAAUGGGCUACAAAUAAGGUUUUGCCCUAAUACUUAGAACUCUAAUAUUCCUAAGUAACGAGGCUAACUCUUGCCCCUAAUCUGAUUCCAAUUCAUACUUCACACUCAGCAUAUCGGCCUGCACUGCCAAAGUCUACAGGUGAUCAGCUACCUCUCGAAUCUGAACCACGGCUUCUCCCAUAAUAUGAUCCCUGUUUCUAACUUGAUUCUAAAAGUAGUGAAGCUGCUCAUUAUGACGAUCUUCGUUUGCUUCCAAGUACUCGAUCCGGAUCUCACAAUUUUGCAAUGCCAUUUCUAACUCGUCUAUUCUUUUUUUCAUUUAUUCAAUCCUGCUCAAGCUCGCUCUCAACUCUAUUGUAGAAUUUCAAUUUCGAUACUGACGAAAAGAUCUUUCUAACUCGGUCACUCUGUCCUUUAGUUCACUUUUUUCCUUUUAGUUCUUUGACAAACUCUUCUCUAAAGCCUCAUUUCGUGUUUGAACCUCCUGGAAUUUCCUUUCCCAUCUAUCGACCUUGUUCUUUUCUUCUCGAAUCUCUUCAUGCCACUGCUCUAAAGUUUUCCCAAACCCGACAGUUCUCAUUUACAGGCGCAGUCUCUUAUAAUUUUUCUUCAAGCUAUCUAAAUCCUUCUCAGCUUUAUUUUUCCCUUUUCUUAAUUUUUCAAUCUCGAGUUUUUGAACAUCCAUGUCUAAUCUCAAGUUCAUUUUUUCUUCUUCCAUUUGUUCUAUCUUCUUUUCUAAUUUUGCAUUUCUUCUUUCAAAAUCUUGUCUUAUGAUUUCUAGCUCAGAAGAGACAACCCGCAAAUGUUGCUCUAAUGACUGACUGUUUCCCUAACUUGGCUUGGGGAUAUUAUCAGUGAUCCCCCUAACCCACCAUUCAUUCCACGAUUAAUCUCUUCAUCCGGCGAGUCUGGUUCCAUGCAUUGGACAUCUCUCAAAUCUUCUUUUUGUAACCAUCGCCCUUGUAUGGGAAUUCACACUAAACUAUUCCCUAGGUUGUGGGUAUAAAUUGCCUUGACCUAUACUGCCUGAUUACUAGCAGCGGGGCAUAACCAAUAGCUCCUCAAAUUCCAUGAAGAGGAACCCAAUCAAAAUCACAGCAUUGAUACAGGAUCUUAUCGAGAAGCAACCAAGGAGCUCUCCACUCGAUGUCCUCUUCCUGAAGAUUCUGAAGAAUUGCUACCCAUUUCUACUCCAAGAUGACAUCCCUUCUCGGUGUAGCUACUAUCUCUUUCAGUGGAAAAUAGUUUUCGGAGAAGACCCGAUACGAAACCUUAUCAACCUUCCAGAAGUGACUGUGGAACCAAGUGAUUAGGAGCUGCGUACAUCUGAUGAAUCUACCCUCCCCCGCUUUUCGGCAUAUAUUCAGUGACCUGAAGGUUUCUGCCAAAAUUAUCGGGACUAGUGUAACUCUCUUAUCAAGCCGGUUGAAUAAAUCAGUAACUGCUUCAUCAACGUGCCUAAAGGCUUUGGGGAAGACAACUAAGCCGUAUAUACUCAAAGCAAAGACAUCUACUCUCUUCUUCGUAUCUGGGUGUGCUAGAAUUAGAUCCUUCAAGCUCUUUCAGGGAAUGCACUUACUAUCCCCCUUCUUCUUGAUCCGAGUUGCAACCCACUGCUCGCUCAUCCCAGUUAUAUUCAUCAACUUCUUCAAAAAGGUUAGUACAUUUACAGCUCUCGAGUAGGCUCUGUCUGCUUGAAUCUUUGAACACCAAAGUAAAGCCAUAUAUUCUUCUAUUGUAAGCACCAAAUUGACCUUCCCAAAUGUGAAGCAACUGUAAGCAGGAUUCUAAAACUGGGCGAGAGCUCGAAACAGGUGCUUGUCUACCUUCAUAUCAAGCAGAAAGGAAAAUUCCCAUAAUUAGAGUAGAACAGCUGUCUAACCUCAUCGUUCCAUUGAUCUUAUAUUUCCUUCAACUCUUGCAAACUGUUUUGAGUUAUGCUAAUGCGAGUAAAGUCCCAUAGUUCCAAUGCAUACCCCUCAGCCAAACUAUCACCUUUCUCACGCUGUUUUGUUUCGGACCAAGUUCAGACAAUCGCAUUAUCCUCCGCUUUAUCAAGAAACCCUUUUCCAUGAUAAGCUUUCUAUCUAGCAACUGAAUAUGAACCAACGCCUUUUAUAAUGAAAUGCCAUGUAGUUGAAAUGCCAUGCAAUCAAAAUAAGACACAAAAAGUCAGUAUCAUGUAUAAACAUAGAAUCCAAUACAAUCAAGAAAUAACAAAACACUUAUUUGGGUAUCUAUUAGGGUCUGGUGUAGUUCUACCUAGGGUGAGUUCCUAAGGUUCACUAUGAAGUUUGGCUUCUAGGUCAAAGGUACCUGAACUAGCCGAUUCCUCAAUCCUCACCCAUUAUAGGCUCAUGCAGGCCGAGUUCGGUUCAGUGGAAUACAUUUCCCUAUGACUAUACGGAGAUGAAAAUCUCAUGAAGGCAUAGGUACAAAUGUAUCCCGAAAGUGAUCCACUAUCCUAUACGGAGGUGAGAACCUCACGAAGGAAUAGUUUUUCACUCCCACUUAAAAGGGUAAAAUCGUCAAUCUCAUAUAAUAUGCAAUGCAAAUACACUAACAGACCUAGACCAACCGAGCAAGAAAACAAUAAUGCAAAUGGGAUAUCAUGAAUUUUAAAACAAGUUUUGACUGUUCGACCAUAAGACAGAAAUUAAUCAAUUUGUGGCUCGACUCUUAAAACAGUCCUCAGUGGAGUCGCCAAGCUGUCGAAACCACUUUUUGAAAUGAUAAUAAAUUAUAUAAAAAUAUCAUGUAAUAAUAAAAAUAAUAAUAAAGUAAUGAAUUAAUUAAUAGCAAAAAUAUCAAACAAGACUAAAUUGAAACAAAAAUAGAAAUUCUGGGGCAAAUAUGAAAUAAAUAAAAAUAAAAAAGACCAAAUCGAGUGCACGAAUAACAAGGAGGGACUAAAGCAGAAAAUAUCCCCGCCCUGCCAAAAUGCAGCACCUUACAUGGAGCAAAAAUGAAAUCAAAGUAAAAUUUUAAGGCAAAAUUAGGAAUAAAAGAAAACUAAAUUGCAAAACCAUUAAAAGGUGGAAAGAACGAGGUUGUAAAUAACCCAUUUAACAAAAACACGUGGAUCCCAGUGGAGUAGGUCGGGUCGCGCACGGGUGGCCCUAUACGGCGUCGUUUUCGAUUGUUAUGUAAACCAAAAAAGCUGUUUUAAAAAAACAUUUUUAGAAGCUAUUUUUUGUUCAAAAAAAAUAGGGGCUCUUCUCUGCUAGGGUUUCACAUCCCAACUAGCCCACCGUGCCUCCACCGCGAUUCCACCGUGAACGGUGGUUGAAGUUGCACCACGAAUGGCCUUUCGCUCCUUUUCGCGUGAAUCCGAAGGCGUCUAAGGUAAACCCUCUUCUUCCCUUUUUAAUAUAUAUAUUUUAUUUAAAAAAACAAAUCGAAACUAAAAGGAAAAAAAGGGAAAAAAAUAGAAUACUACAUUCUAUCUCUCAAAAAAACUCAAAUUGCCAGUAAAUCAUUUUUUUGAUUGAUCUUCUCCCUCCCUUUUUAAAAUAUCAAGUCUGCUUUUUAUAGAAGAUAAUGGAAAAAGAAAAUUUUAAAAAAAAUCUAAUUUUAAAUGCGUUAUCUGCUUGUUGCCUUUGGUUUGCAAUUUUUCUGAUUUUCUUGCUUUUUUUCCUGCCCGUGCUAUUUGUUGCCAUUUUUGUUGUGCAGGUACAAGCUCGGAGAGGACGCACGAGCGCAGAGGCGCAACACGUGCGGCACCUGGAUCUUCUAGGGUUUCUAUUUCGUGGUCUAGGGCUAGGCAUUGGGCCUCUGUAAUUGGGCCACUGUUUCUUGGGUUAGAGAUUUAGAUUGGGUCUUAGUGUAUUUUGCAUUUGGGCUUGUAAUAGGAUUUGGGUUUUGGCUAGCAAUUUUAAUGUAAUUGGACUGUAUUUGGACUUUGAAUUUUGGUUUUAUUUAUUUAUAUACGGGUCAGGCAAAUUGGGCCAAUUACAGAGUAAACACAAGAUGAAUAAUUCCAUCUUGAAAAGAAUAAAUACUUGACUUUUUUGUCUUAGCUAGCACUUGACACGACUCGACAACUGUAGAAGCUUUCUGCAACUUCGUGCUUUAAUGAGCAUCAAGUUGAAAAUGCUCCAAUUAAAUCUUCAUGUGUAGCUUUUCUUGCUCCGUAAAAUCGUCCAAAUAAAAUUCAUUCAUAAGCUUGUAGAUAUCUUCCGCCCAAAAAGCUUUGUAAUUAUCGCGUGGAUCCAAAGCAGAGCUAAGAACAAGUAACUCCACUACCUCAUCAUUAAAGUAAGAAUUCAUUUUUGUUAGCAAUGAAUCGAUACUAGUAAUGAAUAUAUCAAAGCUUUAGUGAUGCUUAAUUGUGAGGUUAUCUCUCUAGAUGCGAGACCAACCUCGACCAGCUUUGUACGGAGCACUUAAAUUUGAGACUUUUAUCUCAUGAUCUUUACAAAAUAAUUCAACUUUCUCAAAAAAAGGAUCCCACCCGUGUUCUUUGAAUUUCUAAAGAAGCGUUUUAGCUUAUGACAUCGGCUGCAUCACAUUUAGUAUGAACUUUGAGCAUAUGAAAUUUGUGUUGUUUAUGUCACAGUUGGUUCCAGUGCGUUUGGGCAAUAUUUUCCUUCUGGAUUUUCUUUGGUGUAUCAACAAUUAUAUUAACAAUGCAGUUGUGCCAUCAGUCUUAUUAGGUGCACAAUUUCUUGCCAUCUUUCAGCUACAAACCUGUUACUGUGAUAGUCUGAGGGAAGGUUUCCGUAGGAAAAAGCAAAAUAAUUCUUCUAGUUCAUCUAAUGGUUGUGGCUCAAAUGUGAAAUGCAAUAGUAGUGUUAAAGUAGGUCAUACUAAAAAUAUCAUCAAAGGUAGUAGUUAGAGUAUGGUUCAAUGCUCCUGUGCUAGUAUUUGGAAUAGCCUUGUUAUGUAUCCACUUCUACUUUUCAAGAAGGGUUAAAUAGAGAUAAGAGUAUAGACAGUGAAAACCAAGUUUAGUAUUGCAUAGCAGUUCUCAUUACUUCGAUGAUCUCGAAUUUCGCUAGUUAGUUAAAGCUGGGUAUCAGGUUGGGUAUGAACUAUUACGGGUUAUAAUGAUUUUCAAUGAGAUUAAGAGCGAGCUACAAUAAAUUUUAUGUCUGGAUUAUUUUGACGUUGAGAAGAAAUGCUUGAAUUAAAUUUCAUAGAGCUAUGACACAAGCCGAUCGACAGUUUGAAUGAGAAACUUAGAUUCUGAAAUACAUAAUACAUGGAUAUAUCAAUCAGAUCGGAGACAGUUGGGAAAAUUAUAAUUAUGGGUUAAAUUUGUUUUUGAUAAUAGAAGCUAGCAGAUUUGUAUUACAAAGGUACCAUUGGAAGCUUUUCAUGGAUGGAAUGUAGAACCCAGGUAUGCUACACAGAUGGAGCGACAACAAAUUAGUUGGGCCAGAGUAAUGGGAACUAUUAUCAGUUACGAGUUUCUAGUGCCGAUGAUGAAAUUAUUACAGGGAAACAUCAAAUUUAUUUAGUCAAGUUUGGUAUCUACUUAGUCUAAGCCAGAUAAGAAUUCAUUGUUUAUAAUUACGUUUCAUUCAGAUGACCUUGAAUCAUGAUGGUUUGAUUAAAAUGAAGUUAAGAGUUGAACCGUUAAUUCUACAGAGAAAUUUUGAGACACAGAGAGAAAUAUUUGAAUAUGUGCACUGAAUAAUUUUGAGAUUUUAUAGGACAUCCUAUAUGAGGUUCAUGGCAUUGUUUAUUUGAUCUCUAAAUCAGAUAGCAGCAAAAUGUAUAAGGGCUUGAGACAAAGUUACUGGUGCUCAGGAAUAAAACGUGAGAUUUCAAAGUUUAUACUGAGAUAUCUGAUAUGUCAAAAAGUCAAAGUAGAAUAUCAAGUAAUGUCUAUAAUAUUACGGUAUUGUAUGAAUUCUGAUUGGGAAUGAGUUACAAGACUACCUUUGAGGAAGAGAAAGAAGACUUGAUUUGAAUAACUUUUAUUAGGUGAAAAAAGAAUUUUGAGGAAGAAAUUUUCUUAAGGGGAAAGUUGUAACAACCCGUUUUUCAGCAUUGUCGAAAACAGUGGUUUUGAGGCUAUAAAUUCGAUGAGUGAUUUUGUAAAUAUUACUAUUUAAUAUUUACAAGUCAAAUAUUGUAUUAUAUUUGAUUUUGAUAUGGUAGUUUAUGUUAUUUGAAUGAAUAAUUUAAUUUAAGUGGUGUCCCUAAAGUCAAGUGGGUUUAGAAAAUAAGGUAUCGAAACCUCAUUUCUAUAAAUUGAGCCCAUAAAUAUUUUAUUAAAAUUUGGUUAAGAAAUUUUAAGGUUUAGGUAGUUAAUUAAUUAAAAAGGAUUAAAUUGCAAAGGUUGCAAAAGUAGGUUUCUAUUGAUUAAAUGGAUUAAAUGGCUAUGGAAAGGCAAACUAAAGGAUCUAGAUGGUAAUUAUACUAUAUAUAUUAGUGGUGGACAAAUAUGGACAUAUUCUAGUUACUUUAUAAGUUAUAACUUAAGGUUAAAUAAGUAAAUAAAUAAAUAAAAGUUUAAUUUAAUAAGCCAAAAUAGCAUCAUCUUCUCCAAAUUGCUAAUUUUUCAAAUCGAAACCCUUGUUGAGAAGAUGAAGCUUUCGGCCAUGGAGUUUUACAUGCAUGGUAUGUUGUUAAGUCAUGUUUUUAGUGAUUUUUAUAUUUUUAAGCUCAUAUUAACUUAAUUUAGUUAGCCUAGGGGCAAUUUGUAAAGUUAUGAAAUGUUUAGAAUUAUGCCAUGGAUGUAAUUGAUGUGUUAUGAAUUUAGAUAAUUGAUUAUUAAAUUUGGCUGUUAAAUAAACAAGUUUUGUUAAGUAAUUUUUAGUGAUUUUAAUGUUUAGGGAUUUAUUUGUGAAUAUGGUAAAAUUCAAGGAAAACAUUGUAAAUUUUUGAUAAUUAUGGGUUUUUAUAAGAUUGGGUAAAAAUCGGCUAGCAUGAAUUAUGGUUAAAAAUGGUGAAAUUUCAAGUUUCGGGUUUAGGGACUAAAUUGCAUAAAAUUAAACUAUUAGGGAUAAUUUUGUAAUUUUGCAAUAGUAUGGAUUAUAAGCUUGAAUUAAAUAUUUUAAGUUAAUUGAAUGGUUUAAUUGAUUGGAAAAUUAUUAUUUAGAUCAAGAAACGCUACAAUUGAAGUUAAAUCAAAGAAAAGCUUAAGUUUUAGAUUAGUUGUCGACUCCGUUUUAACAACAGUUCUAGUUGAGGUAAGUUCAUUUAAGGAUGGAAAUUCUUAUUUUUUCCAUUUUGUAUGAAUACAAAUAGUUAUUUAUGUUAUGCUAAAAUUAAUUGAUAAAGAUGUGAUAAAUUAAUCGAAUUAAAUAAUAUGAGAACUAAUACUAAUGUAUUUAGUGAUUUUUAAUUAUAGAUUGUAUAGUUUAAAGGUUACUUUAAUUAGAGUAAGUUCAUAGUAUUUCAAUAUGUAAAUGUAAUUUGCUAGUGAAUUAUAUUAUCGUUCUUUAGUCAAUUGAUGUACAUAUGUAUAUAGGUGAAAUUACCUUGGAUAUUUAUAUAACUAUGUGUGUUACAAAUAUUUUUGUAUCUAUGAAGUUGAUAAAGAAUAUUAGUAGUGCUUUUCUUGGAAUCAUAUUAAAAUUAUAUAUGAAUGAAAUGAAUUUAAAUAUGUAUACGAAAAUGAAGAAAGUGUUCCUGAAAUGCACAUUAGUGCCCCUGUUUGCACUUUGGUGCCCUUAAAUGCACAUUUGUGCCCCUGAACACACAUUUGUGCCCCUGUUCGCACUUUGGUACCCCUGUAUACACUUUAGUGUCCCUGCUUGCACGUUUGUGCUCCUGUUCGCACUACGGUGCCCUUGUAUACAAUUCGGUGUCCCCGUUUGCACGUUUGUGCCCUGUUCGCACUUUAGUGCCCCUAUUCUGUAUAUUCGAUGCCCCUGAUAAUGGAGUAAUGAUCGAUUAUGUGAACCGAGUACUAAUGAUUUGGACUAAAUGAUAUGGAUUGUUACAUGGAAUUGGUGUAAUUACUCGAGUACUUAAGUUAAGUUCCUAGUUCAUCGGGCUAUGAAAUAAUUGAAUUGCAAUCUAUUUAUAUGCUUAUAUAUUACGUCAUAAUUAUGGUAUUUGUAAGUGAAACAUAUUAUAAUGAAUUUAUUAGUUACAUGUAUGGAUUGUUACUUUGAGGAUAUGUGACUUAUGGCAUGAAAAGUCCUUUGAAUUGAAGGUUGUUUUAAUGUAUUUUGAUUGAAAAGGUAACAUUUGAGUUAUGUGGACAAAUGAUUUAUAUAGUGAAAUUCUUUUCAUAGUAUGAACGAGUUAGUAAAACUUUACAGAAUAUAUGAUUGUAUAAAAUGAUCUAUGAUUUAAUGUAAGAAUAUGAAAUUUAUGAUAAGGUUAGUUAAAAGAAGAUGAAGGUAUAUGAUAGUCAUAUAAUAGAUGAUUGGUGAAAUUGAAAUGCUUGAUAUAUUUUAUGCAUCAUUUGGGUUGGAUUUAUGUGUAUUGCUUCACCUAUUAACCUUUUGAAGUAUGAUGUAUAGGCAAAGGAAAUUUUGGUCUAUGAUUAAAUGAGUUUUCUCAUGGUUGAUUAAUCCAAUGCAAUUGGUAAGUUUAAGAUCUUUUAUAUGAGCUUAUUAAGCAUUAGUUGCUUAUAUAGUUGUUUUCUUUAUUUUGUAGAUAUAACAGCCCGGUUUAGACCUUAUUCGGACAGUGGUUUCGGGACCACAAAUCUGAGUCAGAAAAAUAUUUUAAUAUAAUUUUCGUGCUUAUAGUAUGUGAAUUGAUAUGUGUAAAAUUUUCGUGAUUUAAUUUAUCUGUUUGUGUGCUUAAUUUGUGAAAAGGGCUAACUCACAUAAAAAGUAAAAGUGGCAUUCUUAUUGUUAAUAUGCUAAUUUGUUAUGAUUCGAUUUAUGGGAAGUCCUUAAAAGGUUAUUGUGCCAUUAUAAAGUUAGUGGACAUUUAUGUCCAUGAUUCAAAUGACUUAAAUUAUUGUUUUAUUUAGGUUAAAAUAGUAAAAAGGUUAAUAACAUUAAAUAAAAUAAAGUAAAACAUAAAAAAAGGCCAUGCAUGUUCAUUUUAUUUGUCCGAAAUUUGAGAAAGGAAAAUAAGCUCUUGAGCUUUCAAGUAUUCGAGACUUUGGAGCCAAAAAGUUGGUAUGUUUCUUGUUCGGUUUUCGAUAAUUUUUACGUUUUUGAGAUCGUUGCUUCGUAUUCUAGCUAGCUCGUGUACUAAUUUUUGAAUUGGUUAAUGAAUUUGUGAGUUGCCAUUGAUGAUAGCUUGAUGUUUUUGUUUCUUAAUGAUGAAAAAUAAAUAUUUGUUGAUAGAUUAUUAAAUUUUGUUAAGUAAUUUUUGAUAAAAAUUCAAAUUAGGGAUUUAAUUAUGAAAAUGAGAAAUUGAGGGGCUAAAAUGUGAAACAAAUGAAAUAUGUGGGCCUAUAUGAGCUAAAGGAAUAUUCGGCCAAGCUAUGAUGUUGUCAAAUUUUGAAUAUUUUGUGUUUUGUGAAAUAGGGACUAAAUUGUAAAAAAUGUGAAAUAUUAGGGGUUAAAUUGAAAUUUUCCCAUUUAUGUAUUUUUGGAAUAAAUUUGAAUGAAAUGUGUUAUUAAAUAGCUAAAUUUGAAUUUAUUUAGAUCAAGAACAAAAGAAAACAGAAUUAGAACGAGGGAAGUCGAAAGUGGUCGAGUAGUCGAUUUCAUCCGCUUGUCUUCGUCUAAGGUAAGUUCGUAAGUAAAUUAUUGAAGUUAAAUUUACUGUAUUUAUUUCAUGUAUAGCCGAAUCUAAAUGUGUAUGUGUACCCUAUAAUGCUGAAUUAUAUUUGACAAAUGAUGAUUAAUUACAUGUUUUUAAUUGAUUAAUUUACGACAUCUGAAAGUCAUACGAACUACAGAAAUGCUGAAAUGUGACAUCGUGUAAGACCACGUCUUGGACGUUGGCCUCGAUUUGAGAUUUGCAUGUAAGACCAUGUCUGAGACAUUGGCGUCAUAUAAGAUUACAUGUAAGACCCUGUUUGGGACAGUGGCAUCGUUGUUUGAUUACUUGUAAGACCACGUCUGGGACGUUGGCAUUGUACGAGCUUUUUAUGCCGAUCGAGUAUCAUUUCUCUGAAUUCGAAAGGUAUAACGGGAAAUCAUAUGGUAAAACCGAAUGUGAGUUUGAUUUAAACAAUUCAGGUAUGUUUAAGUUAUACGAAAUUGAAAGUAAAGGUAGGUAGUAUAAAUAAAACAUGAAAAGAAGAAUUAAUCGUAUAAAAAUGAUUAUAUAUGUAUGUGUACAUGAAUAGUAGAAUUCGGCCUACAAGUGUAAUUUUUAUGAGUUCUUUGAAAAUUAUGUGCUUACAACUUACUAAGCUAUUUAAGCUUACUGUGUGCUUGUUCAUUCAUUGUUUUAUAGAUUUUGGAAUCUUGUUACGAGUUCGGGAGUCGUCAAGGAAGUCCGUCACACUAUCGAUCUCUAUCUCGGUAUUUUGAAAAUUCAAAAUUUUGAACAUAUGGCAUGUAGAGGCUAGUAUUUGUAUUGUUUAGUCAUAAAGUGUGUAUAUAUAAUUAGCCAUGCGAAAAUGGCUUAAUCUUGAUAUUAAUACUUAUGUGUUCGGUUAUGGUAAUAGUAUAUUAUGAAAAAAUAUUUCAUGGUAUUUAUAUAUGUGUGGUAUUUGAUUAUAUAGAUUUGUUAUAAUGUUUAAGCUUGUGUAUUAUGGCCAGAGUUUGAACCUAUUAUGAAAGUAGGUUAUUGGUAUAUAUAUAUAUGCAUGAGAUGUGAAAAUAAUUUUUGAAUGGUGGAUAGUUGUAUAAUUUAGCUUAGUAAUGUAGUAAUGAUAGAUAUGUAAUGGAUAAGCAUGCAUAUAUUAUAUAGGUUUGGAAAAAUGAAUUUUUAGGUAUAGUUCAUGAUGAAAUUGACAUGAUUUAUUUUUGGAGGUUAAUUGUGAUGAUCGAAUAUGUGGUUAAGGGAUUGGCUAUGUGUACGGAAGUUUUAAGUAUGUGAUUGAAGUGUACUUAAAGUAUGAUAUAUAUAUAUUCGAAAUGGUUCAAAAUAGCAUGGUCUCUUGCGCAUAAAAUUGUAAUGAGAAAAAAAUGUAUGAUUUGGUGUUAUAAUUUGAGGUAUAAUUAUCUUGGAAAUAGUUUGUGAGUUAGUAUAUAAUGUGCAUGCAAAUUCGGAUAUUCAGUAGUGAAAAUAAAUGUAUAAACUAGUAAUGUAACCACUUAAGGUUGGUUUACUAUGAAUAGGUUCGUGAGGGUAUGAUAUGUUUCAAUAUGAGUGAUUGAAGUUUGCUCAAAAUAUUGUGGAUAUAUGCGCAUAACCUCAUGAUGAGUGAAAUGGUAUAUUUGGCCUUAUUGUAAUGGUUAUAUAUAUAUGGUAUGGCUUGAUUAUGGAAUUUGCAAAUGAAGUAUACUAUGAUUUGUAGUACGUGUUAUAAAUUGGUUUAUAUUAAUUAGGUAAAUUGAGUGUAAGACUCUGAUGAUUUAAAUUUCAUACUUGACCACUUGUUGAGGUUGGUUAGGCUGAAUAUGUUGGGUCUAUAUGCUGUGUGAUAUUGCAUAGUAGUAUAAUUUGUAUGGUAUAAGUUUUAUAAUAAUAUAAGCUUAGAUAAUAUUGUUUUUUUUAAAGCAAAUGAGAUGAAUUUAGGAGUUUUAAGCUCUGAAAUUUGAAUGGGAUAAAUGUAUUGAUGUGGUUAAUUUAUGAAACAGGAAUUGUAAUGAAUGUGUUAUGAGCUAUGAUUUGUUCGGUAAUGCCUCAUAAUCCUAAUCUAGCGACGGAUACGAGUUAGGGUUGUUACAGUAGAUCAUCGGAAAGCUCGAACAGUUGGAAUCUUUGUCGGGGCACGAUCACACUAUCCAUCGAUCUACUUUGGUAGCUUUUGAAUAUAUUGAAAUGGUUAUAAGUGGCAUGUAUAGGGUUGUAUGGUAUUUUGGUAUGAUUUGAAUGUAAUAAGGUUUUAAGUUUUGAUUUGGUGAUUGGAUUGUUUUUGAAUGGUUCCAAGUCAUUUUUGUUUAUGUCUUUUGAUAAAGGUUUGUUAAUGGUGUGUAUUCAUAUGGGAUGAUAGUAGCUAUGCACACUCUCAUGUAGGUAAAAAGAAAAAGGUUGUUUGAUAUGUUUGUGAUAUGGUCAUUUGGUAUGCAUAAGGAAUGCUAAGUGAUGUAAAAUUAUAUUGUUGAAUAGGUUCAAAAUUUAUUGUAAUAGUGGUACCUAUUGUUGGAACAUUGGUUAGAACAUAUAGGAUGAUUGAUUUGGUAUAUUUUGAGCAAGUUUGGAAUAAGUUUUGGUUUUUUGAAUUCUUGUGGAAAUGGUGUGUAUUGAUGUGUAAGUUUUGGCUUGAUUUUAGCUUGAUUAAUGGAUUAAUUUGGAAGCACAUAGCCUGAGACACAGGCUGUCAUGCGGUCGUGUGGCACACACAGGUAUCCCUUACGGCCAUGUGUGCUUUGUUAGUUUUGGUGCAAGAUUCACACGGGCUUAGACACAGCCGUGUGUCUCAAGUCAGAGAGUUAUAUGGUCUAUGACACGGGCUGGGUCACGGCCGUAUGCCCCUACUUCGAAUGCUCACACGGUUUGAGCUGUGUCACACGGCCGUGUGACCACUGUUUUUUAAAUUUUCAAGUUUUUCCUAAAAUUUAUGUUUUGAUUCAUUUUGAUCCCUGAUUGCUUUUAAGUUAUUUUUAGGGCCCCGAAAGCCUGAUUUAAGGCCUAAAUAAGUAUGUAUGCUAAGAUUGGAAUGAAUUAUUGGUAAUUAUACUUAAGUUGAAUUAUUUGUUCAGAUUUAAAGUUAAAGGUUUCGUAUUGUACAAUAACGCUCUAUAACCCUAAUUUUUCGACGAAGAUGGGUUUAAGGGUGUUACACACACACACAUAUGCACAAUUGAUUCCAUGGCAUUAUACUAUAUCAUUUCGAUAUCUUUUAUUAAGCCGCAAACUCAAACCAAUUUCACAUAACUCAUUUUAUUACCAUAUUAUAUUGUCAAUCUAUUUCAUUACAUUUUGAAGUUUCUAAUUUCAAUUAUAAUAUCAUGAUCGAUGAAACCAUUCAUAAGUCCACAUCAUAUCCUGAAAUUAUUUUCAAUUACAUAUCAUACCCUAAAUUCGAUAGUAUUUGCAUACUCGUACCCUGUACACUUUUCUUAUCGUAUGACAAUGAUUUCAUUACAAUUCAAUCCAAUAUAUAUGUUCACAUUCAAUUUCAGAAUCACAAUUCAAUUCAUCAUCAACACAUAAAAUAUCAUGAUAAACAUGUCUUAUGAAUCAUCUUAAAUAUGAACAAAUAACUAGUUAGAAAUAUAUCAUAUUAACAUGUCAUUUCCCAAACUGGAUCGUUGAAUUCGUCACAAUUUCAUACCAAUCUUUCGGACUUAUAAAUCCAGUUUACAAAUUCCUUUCACAUUAACAAUUAUUUUCAUUAUAAUUAUAAAUUUUUACAUAUUAAAUCCUUAUUAACUUGACUCGGACACGAACGGAUACACAAAUCCAACCAACAUCGCAAUUUGGCACUCGGUGCCUCAUCGAAUAAUUUUCAAAGAAAAUAGAUUGUACCCAUCACUCAUCAGUAUGACCAAAGCGAAAAUUGUGCCCAACACUCAUCGACACAUAGUCAAAGUAACCAUUUGGCACUAGAACAUCCGAAGUAAUUAUUUUGUGUCCAACGCUCAUCGGUAUAACGAAAUAAAGGUUGUGCCUAGCACUCAUCAGAACGUUCGAAGUAAAAUGUGUCCCAUGCUCAUUGACAUAUAGUCGAAAUAACUCCACCCGAGCAGUUAAUAGGGUAAAAAUUUAUCCAAUUCCCUUAUAAGUUCAAUUCUCAUUCUAUCGAUAUCAAUAUCAUUAAUUUAUCACUCAUGAUAUCAUUUCAUACAUAACAUAGCAUACCAUCUCAAUUCCAAUCCAAUUUCACCAUUUCAUUUAGUUUUAAUAUUUUCACUUUUAUUCAAUUUAAUCCUUAAUCUCAAUUAUCAAUUAAAUUCACACCAAUGUAAUUUGAUCAAUCAUAAUAAACUCAAAUAAUCAUUUUCAAUUUACCUCAAUAUCAUACAUUGCAAAACAAAAUAAAUAGGUAACAAAUAUAAUGAUUCAAUUUAUAGAAAUACAAACAUAACAUGAAUUAACAUAAUAAGUUCCAUAUGAACUUACCUGGCAAAACAACAACCAAAUGAGCUUUUAAGGGCUAUUCGACAAUUUUUGCUUUUCCGCGAUUAGCCUUGAUUUGGUUCAAUUCUUGAUCUAUAAAAUAAUUCAGUUCAAUUUAUCAAUUCCAGACAUCUCAUAUCAUUCUAUUAUAAGCAUGUAUAAGUUCAAUUUCAUUUUUAAAUGUCCCUUAAAGUUUUUAAUUUUAUUCAAUUUAGUCGCUAAAACCGAAAUAGUCAUGUCUUUCAAAUUUGAGCUUCCUUUUACAAUCUGAUUUCAAUCUCAUCCUCUAUAACCUCUCUACUAUCUAUUUUUAUCAAAAUCUCAUAACAUCUUUACAAAUAAGUCACUUUAAUCCUUAUGUUACAAAACUAACAUUUAAACUUUAUAUAAGCUUAAAAUCUAUCAAUUUAAUACAAAAAAAAACUUUAAGAAAUCAACCUCUUAACACACGCACUUCACCCAGAAGACUGAUAUACCCUGUCACUUAGAAAUUUUCCAAGUUCUGGGAAUAUAGUUCUGCAUUCAUUGACCUCGCCCUCUGAGUGUUCUCUUUCAUGACAUUCCUGAUGUAAUACCCCGAAAAUUACUACAGUAAGAAAGUAAGAUAGUAUCCUUGAUAUAGUAAAAUAAAGAAAUAAAGUGACAGAAAGGAAAAUUUUGAUUUAUGUCAACAUUGGGAAGUAUAUUAGGACAUAUUAAGGCAAGAAAGGACUAAUUCGCAAAAGUGAGAAAAGUUUUGUUGCCCAAGAGUAAAUACUUAAAAUUUGAGGGGUUAAAGUGUAAAUAUGAAAAAGUUAAAAGAUCAAUAGUGCAAAUAUUUUAAGAUUGGAAUGAUCUAGAAACUAAGGAAAAUGGAUGAAUUAGGACCAAAUUGAAUAAGUGAAGAAUUAUGAGGGACUAAAUCGUAAUUUUACCAAAUUGAGUAAUGACUCAAGGAUGGAAUUUUAAAAGAUCAUGAAGGCUAAAAUGGUCAAUUAGAAGGAGAGAGAAAUCUAGAAGACAAUGAUGAUGUUGGUGAUAUUUUAGAUAAUUAAAUAAAUAAAUAUUAGUUUAUAAUAUCUUGAUUUGAUUUUUUUAAUGAUAUUUUAUUAUUUUAUUAUUUUAUUUAGCAUAAAUAUAUGUGGAAAGAAAGAUGAAAAACCACCAUCCCACCAUUUUUCCCAUGCACCAACGUGAGAAGAAGAGAGAAAGAAAGAAAGUUUUGCUUUCUUUACAAUUUGGUCUUUCCACCAAAAACUUACCAUUUUCACCUAGAAAUCAGAAGAAUUUCCAUAGCUACCAAGAGAGAAAAAUGUUAAGAAGACUAUAGGGAGUUAUAAUAUCAAGUUGAAUUCAAGAAAUAGAAGCUGGAGGAGUGAGAAAAAUCAAGUUAAAGAUUGAAAUCAAUAUGACAAGGUAAGAACAUCAAGAUUUUAAUAUAUUUUUAAGUUUGAUAUUAUUGAAAAUGUAUGGAAAUGAUGUUAAUGUAAAGUUUUCGUAUAUAUGGUCCUAUGUUCUUGAUAUGUUAGUGAAGAGAAAAUAAGUAAAAGUGAUGAGAAAUAGUGUAGAGAAAGGGAAAAAAAGGGUGUUAUAAACAUGGUAAUUAAUAUCUUGCACUAAAAUAGUUUUGGACAGUAGCAGUAGUCUAACUUUGAAAAAUCACCAAAAAUUGCAAAAAUCGAAUUAUAGGAUGAAUAAAAUAUGAAAUUAAAUUUUAUUGAGUCUAGUUUUUCAUAGAAGAAGCAAUGUAAGCAAUGGAAUUAUAAAUCAUGAGAUAUAAUAAAUUUUGUGAGACAAGGUCAGAAUGAUUUCGGGUUCCCCUAUUUUGAUUUUAGAAAAUCAUAAAAAAUUGGAGAAAAAUAAUUAGGGGCUUAAAUUCAUAUGUUUCAAAUCUUUAAUGAGUCUAUUUUUAAGAGAAACAAAUAGGAACAUCAUUCGAAUCCCGUACGAGGAGAUAAUUAAUUUUUAGUGAAAAAGGGUCCGAAUUGUCAAACAAUAGAACAGAGGGGACUUUAAAGAAUAAACUGUACUUAUUGGCAAAACCAAAACUUAUGAAAAUUUUAUGUAAAGAUAUAUGUGAGUCUAGUUUCAGAAAAAAAUUUCAGAUCCUAAUUUGGAGUUCUGUAGCUCAAGAUAAAAAUAAUUUAGUGACUAUGACACGGAUGGACAGCUUUGAAUAAAUUUAUAAGUAAAUAGUGAAAUAAUAGAUAAUGUUACUUAUAAGCAUGUUAUAUAAAUUAAGGAUGUGGAAUGGAGAGGAGGAGGAUGAGGAGGAGGAAAAUAUAUAUAUGAAUAUUCAACUAACAUGGCUAAUUUGCAUGAUUUAGGCUUAGGGACUAAAUUGAAUAAAAGAAAAACUUUAUGGGCAAUUUUGUAAAAAUUUCAAAAAUGACCAAAUUAUAUGAAACAAAUUGUUUUAUUAUUUAAAUUACAAAAUUAAAUGAAAUUAUUAAUUUAGAUCAAGAUCGGGUGAAAACAUGUUUUAGGGAUUAAAUUGAAAAGUGUUGAAAUUAUGGAAAAUUCUGAUAUUUCAUAGAAUUCAUGGGUUGCUAUCAAUAUGUAUGAGAAUAAUUAGGCUUGAAACAAGGAUUAAAUUACAAGAAUUUUAUUUUUCUGAGCCUAAGGAUAAAAUCGUCAUUAAUUAAAAGCUUAAGGGUAAAAUGGUAAUUUUUCCUAGAGCAUUAAUUGAAUGUAUCAGAAUAUGAAAUGAAUGAAAAUGAUGAUCAAAAUUAUUAAUAAAGAUCUGAAUGACUCAAAUAUGAGACUUGAACAUGGAAAAGAAAAUAUAUCAGAUUAGCGAAAUUAUAAACACGAACAAGCAACGAGGUAAGUCCGUGUAACCUGAAUUAUAUUCUUAAAUGCUUGAAAUGUAUGUUAUUGAUGUGAAUAUGAUUUAAAUGUUCAUUGUAUGAAAAUUUAUGAAACUUUGAAAUAUUCGAUAAAAAAGGGAAGAAAUCCCGGUUGAAUGGAAGGAAAAUUCGAUGGAUCUCUGAAAAGGAAUUGACGAUAAAAAGGAUCUAGCCCGGAUGGGUGAUCCUAUCUUGAUAUAGCCCUCUCGAAGAAUAUGUGUAAAAUGGAUUUAGCCCGGAUGGGUAAUCCGAAUUAGGGUCUGAAUUUAGCCUGGACUGGUAAUUCAGAUCCAAGCUCAUUAGAGUAAUUGUUGUUGCAGGGGAUUUAGCCUGGACUGGUAAUCCCGACAAUACUCUAUGAGUUUAUAUUACAGGGGAUUUAGCCUGGAUUGGUAAUCCCGCUGUAAGGAUGAGGCUCGCGGGAGUGUACUCUCUAAAAUGGAAAUGUGCGCAUAUGAAUAUAAAUUGACGGACCUGGUAUUGUACACUAAAAGUGUACCUUUGAAAGUCCAUCGAAAUUCUGAGAAAUUCAUCGGGAUAAUAUGGGAAAUAAUAGGGUAAUUAAGUGAAAAUUUAAAUCGAACGAAAUGAAUAAGUUGAGCCAUUGAAAGGAAACGUGAUUGUGGAAUAUAUUUGAAAAUGUGAAUUGAAUAUGAAAAUGUGAAUAGAAAGCAUGAACUAAGUGUUCAUAAGAUAAAUAAAGGCUCAAUGUAAGAGUAAAUGAUGUUAACAAAUGAAAACAAAAUUGAAUUGUAAAUAUUGAGCAAUGAAUUAUUAUAGGAAAUAUAUUAUCAAAUUUAAUACUGAUUUUGGAUUAAAUGCGGGAUUAAGUACAAUCGUUCUGUGGUAAAUGAUGAAUUGACGGAUAAGACCAUAACUGGGUUAUGGCAUUAUGAACAUAAGACGAUGGUUGGACCAUGACACUGUUUAUAUGUUCAAGACCAUAGUUGGACUAUGGCACAAAAGAACAAUGUACUCAUAUCUGUAAGUCGUUCUUCGAUUCAGAAAGAAACGGUAAAAGACUUAUGUGAUUGAAUUGAAAGAUUUAUAGAUUAUUAUUGGUAUUGAUCUGAAAUAAAUGUAUCCAUUGAUAUUUAAAUGAUAUAACGAGCAAAGUUCUGAUGUGAGAUAACAUUAGUUUGAAGUGAACUAUUACUGGUAUGUACGAGAAAUUCAUGAAAAUGAUGGUACAUGAAAUAUCGAAAUAAAGAAAUGAAUGAUAUAUGCCUAUGAAGAAACUGCAAGAGAAUGAUAUGUAUCAUUACAUGUAAAUAUAUGAUUAUCUUUAAUAUGUUGAUACAAGGAAAUUAUGUAUGAUGAGUUUAUAUGUAAUAUGUGCAAGUACGCUAACCAAUGUUGUUGCUUGAUGCUUAGGGAAGUGCCAAGCUAUUGGUUGAAUGGUAAUAUGUUUAAUUAUAAGAUGCAUUGAAAUGGUAAGUGCUCAAAUGAAAAUGUGCUUGUGUUCAUGAAAUGGUGGUAAGUUUAAAGUUAUGUAAUUUCUUAUGAAAAGGCUUAUUAUAUGAUUAAUUCUAAAAAUGCUAUGUUUAAAUGCAUUAGCUUGUGCCUAUGGUUGAAUGAUAUGUUUAUGGCUGGUGUGUUAUACAUAUGGAAUGAGUGUAGAAAGUAAAGAAAUGCAAAUGAAAAUAAUGAAAUUCGGAAGAGUAUAAAGUUGUUUAAAAUCCUAUUAUGCUAGGGAUAAUAUGUACAAGUGAUGAUGUGGAUUUAUUCACCUUGUGAGUUGUUGAAUAUAGCUUCAUGAGUAUUGUGGUAUUAAUAGUGGAUUAUUCUUGAUAUGUAUAGAUUUCAUAUUUGAAAUAAAAUAAUAUGAUUAAAGUCUAUACGAGCUUACUAAGCAUUUAUUGCUUAUGUAUUAGCUUUCUUCUACUUUUCAGAUUAUCGGAAGCUCGAUUAGGUUGGAAGCUUGUCGGAGACAUAUCACACUAUCCAUUGGUUCUAUUGGUAUGUUCCAAUGUUUGGAUUUUGGUUAUAAUGGCAUGAAUAGGUAUUUUGUUUAAUGAUGGUCUAUUUUUAUUCACAUGGGCAGAGACAUGGGCCUGUAUCCCCUACUUUUAAGAAAAUUUUUAAAAAGUUGGGAAAUGUUCGUAUUUAAUUCGUAAAGUUUAGUAAUGCUCCGUAACCUUGUUUUAGUAACGGAUAGGGGUUAGGAGUGUUACACCUGACACAUUCGACAUGCACGUGUCUUGCCUCCAACUGUUUUGCUUGUCUCAACCCCAUUUUUGGCAUCAAGGUUGCCAGUCUGUAAAACGUGACUAAGAAAAUUGAUGAAAUUGGCAAGUGACGUGUAUGCCUCAAGAUGGAAUUAAUGGCCUCAAAGAGGUUGGUCGUCAUAUGACCAUAUCGAUUCCCAUCAUCAAAACAUUUAGCCCAUUUCCACGGCUCCAUUCUACCAAACUAUUACCUGAGAGAAAGAUCGAACCCUUCCAUAUUAGUCUCUAACCUUGCCAGCUUAUGUCUGAAUUGAUGUGGUUCCAACUCGUACCCUAUAUAUGUAUUUUGAUAAAACACAUUACCACCCCUUUUAGUAAAUGGAUUUGAAUUAUUUAUAUAUAAAAAUUUAAAUACGAUAAUUUUACCCGUGUUCAUGAUUUGUUUGCGCUAGUCUUUGCUCUUAUACUCCUUGUGGAAGUUGACAACAUUGUGGCGAAUACAGUAGAUGGACCUCCAUGUAACAUCGUAUUGCCGAAUUACAGCAACAAGGUCCUUUGAUCUGUCGAAGACAAUGCAAAUGUUGUUUAUCCUGACAACAUGCCUCCACAAGUUUCUAAUGAAAAGUUCCCAUGAUUUGGAGUUCUUCGACUCCACGAGGGAGAAAACAAUAGGUAGUACAUUUUGGUUACUACCUUGCAUAACUGCAAUCAGAAGUAUCUGCGUGUAUUUUCCAUAAAGCCACGUUCCAUCAACCUGCACAAAUGGUUUGCAGUAGGAGAAGGCCCUAACAUAUGGAUCGAAAGUCUAGAACAAUCGGCGAAAAACUCUUCUCCCUGGUUCAAGUAGUUCAUUCGGGCCACUGUAAGGCAACGUUUGCAAGUCCACAACAGUUCUUAGGACGUACUACACCAUCAUUGAAAUCCACCCCUGAAGUUUAUUUAUGACUCAUCCCAAUCGCCGUACAAUUGCUACAUGGCCGUUUAUUUCGCCCACCAUGCUUUCUUGUACUACACUUUGUACUACAAUCAAUGUCGACACAAGAAUAGUUAUGCUUUCUUUCACUAGUGACAUGAUGCAGAUACUUUUUGCAUCGAAUUUCCAAUGGUCUUGAGUAAAUUAAUUAUAAAUUUAUAAUAAAUUAGUUUAGGGUUUAGGGUUUAGGGUUUUUAAGUAAAAACUCAAAUAAAUUAGGGUUUGGGGUUUACGGUUACUUAAUUAAAUUAUUUGUUAAUUUAAAGAAGCUCCGACAUGAACGCGCUUUUGCUACAGUGGCUCCUGAGAAAAUAAUUUCGAGUAGACGUUUCUGAGCAAACAGUGUCAAAAAUGCUUUAAGCAGGAUGCUUUGUCAGUAGAAGUACUGAAAAAAGCUCCCACGUGGACGCUCUUUUGUUACAGUAGCUCCUAAAAAAUAAUUUUGAGUAGACGUUUCUGAGCAAACAAUGUCAAAAACGCUUUAAGCAGGAUGCUUUGUCAGCAGAAGUACUGAAAAAAUCUUCCACUUGGACAUGCUUUUGCUACAGUAGUUGAACGUUAUUGUAAAAAACUUUGUAUUAUUUAUAUUUUGUUAAAUCGAAAAUUGCCUUAUUUAAAGCGUUAUUGUAAAGAAUUUCGAUUAUAUUAAAAAUAUUAAAGUAAAUUACAAUUACUUUAUUCAAAAUAUUUCCUUAUUUAAAAGAAUUUCUAUUAUAUUAAAAAUGUAAUAGUAAAUUUCUAUUUUAGUACAUGAAAUAAUAUAGAAGAAUUUCUAUUUUAUUACAUCAAAUAAUAUCAAAUUAUUCAAAAUGUUUGUACAAAUAUAUUAAAAUAAAAAUCAAUCUCUGUGCCCGCCGGAUUUAGUGCCACAAGGAGGCCGUCGACGGUUACGCGCUGGAUUCUUCCUUUGUCCAGUCUCCGGCGGGGGUUGUGGUUGCUCCGGCGGGGAUUCUAGUUCCUCCGGUAUGGUAUCUGGUUGUCGGUGUUGGGACGAUGAGUCACCUUGAUAGAAUAGUGACUGUGGAGGUGUUUGCAUCACCAAUAGCGAAGCUGUUUGAAACCCAUACGGUGACGGCGAUUGGUAAAAAGAAGAGCUCCCCGACGGCCCCUCUUGCGAUCCCUCGUGCGAUGUUGGCCUAUACAUCGGCGGUCCACUAAAUGAAGAUGAACCAGGACAUGGACUCCAACCUGCCAUAGGACUCGAAAAAGGAAACAUAUAAGGGUUAGGAUACAUAAAGGAGCUAAGAUACGUACCUGGCAUCAUCUGAAAAGGCUGUGCCGUGGGUAUCAUCGGGUGAACUGAUGGGUCGGGUGACUGUGUCGGUGCUCUCGCUGGCUUGGUGAUUGAAUGGCCGCUGAUGAUAGGCCGGGUGAAUGUUUGAGCCUCGUUGAUGGGCCUGCGUCGUCGUCCCUUCAUCUUGGAUUUAAAGGGUCACGUCGUUCCAUUUGGACACGUAAUUGCCGCUGCCUCUCCUCUGCUGACAGUAAAUACGGCUUGCCAUGGAUCCUAAACCAUGGCAUGUAUUCCGACAUGUACGCUAACUCAGGAACGAUGAUCGGUUCCCGAGUAGGUAUAUAAUCAUACCGAUCUUCCCACAUUUGGAUGUAGUGUGACUAGAAUCUCGGCCAAUCCGUAUGCAAUUACCGUAGGUCGAUUUUGUGAUGAUCAUCCAACACCUCAGGUGCCACGGGGAUCGGUUGUCGGAAUCCAAAUUGCCGUAAUACUCUGUCUGACUGGUGCAUCUCCACGGUCACAUAGUUGACCAACGCGACUUUCACUUGCCAAGCGUUUGGAUUUUGGAGGUACUCAUCCGAAAUUACUGCCCGAAUUGUCGGAUCCUCGUAUGGUGUCCAUUCAAACUAUAUGAACAUGAUGGAAAUAUUAGUUAUAUACAUAAUACAUAAUACUAAAUACUAAAUACCAAUCGACUAGCUCAUGAUGAAAAUAUCAAUUUUAUUUAAUACUUACUUGUGCUUCCGACUUUUGGUCUAAUAGAAGCCGUAUAUCUUUAAGACAGCUAGGUAAUCCAGCAUAACUUGCAGGAUGGUUCCACCUAAUUAAAUAAAUUUUUAGAAUACUAUUAUAUUUUAAAUCUACGUAAUAAUUGUAAAAUCUAAUAUAAAAUUUACCUUAUUAUGAGUGGGAAUGUUUAUGGGUGGUCCACUCGAGGACGUAAAAAUAGAAAGUGAAACCAUGCCCAUGACUGUAGUAGUGACAGGCAACCUCCGAUUUUCGCUUUAUUCGGUCACGUCGCCCCGCACAUCUCCCGGUAUAGUGUUGCCAACACGGUCGACCCCCAACUCAAUUCACCGGCUACUCUAAAAUCAACAAGUUUCAGCAGCCAUCUUAGAUGUACGAGGUUCCGUGACAAUUCUGGCAUCAGAUAGCCUCCAAUUAUCUGAAGAAUGUAUGCCCAAGCAUAGCAGAUUCUUUCUAGUUCAGUUGAAUCAUCAUCCAGAUCCGAGAAUGUGUCUCGUAACCAGCCCAUCUCGAUCCGACCCCUGUUAAUAUUUUUCGAAAUAGCGCCCAAAAGCUCGUAGCAUACCGCUCCCCAAUCGCCAGAUUGAAUAGACCCGGUGACUGGGUACCCGUCCACCGGCAAUCCCAAUUGCAGAUUCACAUCUUCCAAAAUGAUAGUGCACUUUCCACAUGGAAGAUGGAAUGUGUACGUCUCGGGUCUUCACCUCUCAAGCAACGCACUGAUAAAUUUCGGGUCCAACUUGCAUCCCUGGCCUACAGUCGCCACGUGCUAAAAACCCGCUUCCCGGAGGUAAUUCUCUAAUAACGGUGAUGGAGGACCAUGCAUAUUACGGAUAUAGCAUAGCAAUAUCUGAUCUACAGACUUUUAUAACAAAUAAUAAAUUAAUAAUUAUUUAAAAUUGCAUAAAUAAAAAAAUUAAAUAAUAUUUAAAAAUUAAAAUUAACACUUACCAUUUUCAUUUGUUCGACAGAUAUGUGCUUGUCAUAAAGAUGAAUCAAUUCUCCGGCCAUAGUUAAAUUCGUACAAAUUUUUACGAUUUAAAAAAAUUCAAAAAAAUAAAAUUUAAAUUUUUUUUAAAAAUAAUUAAAAAAUUAAAGCUCUUUUAAAUAGGGAUUUGAGAGAAAUUUGAAAGGAAAUUGAGAGCAAAUUGAGAUUAAAUAGGGAUUUGAGAGAAAUUUGAAAGCAAAUUGAGAGCAAAUUGAGAGGAAAUUAGAGAAGGAAUGAUUUAUUUGUGAAAAAAAAUGAAAGGGUGGAGGGGUUUUAUAGUUUUUUUUUUACCGUUGGGGGGUCACCAACGGUCAAAAACGUAGCCGUUGCUACUGUUCACGCGGCCAAAACGCGUCCCCAGUAGAGCGCUUACGUGGCAGGAAAACGCGUCCUUGAAGGCGCACUUUGUUGCCACGUAGGCAAAGCGCUUCCUUGAGGAAGCGUUUUCCUGCCACGUCCCCUGACAUCGCGCUAACGUGGACGCGCUUUCGGGGAAUUAGGCCAAUCCGAUAAUUAAUUUAUUAUCAGGCCCAUUUCGGUAAUUUUUUUAAAAUUGGGUUUUUUUUAGUGUUUUGCCCUAAAUGUUUCGUAUUAGUUUUAUAAUUUUAAAAUUAUCAAAGUUAUAUAAAAAUUUUAUUUUUAUAAUUUGUUUAUAAUUUUUAUGAUUUUUAAUAUUUUUAAAUUUUAAAAGCGUAAUUGAUUUUUUAAAAUUUGUUACUAAGGUCUUUUUGAUCCUUUAGUUUUAUUAGUUUAAAAAUUACUUCCAACAAAAGAGUAUGAGUCAAAUUGAAUAAAUGUGUAAAGGUUAAUUAUUGAAUUUGUUAUUAUGCCUUAUAUAUAAAUAUCAUAUUUUAAUAGAGAGGUGGCUUUGCUCACUCAUCUAGCAUAAAACGGCUAAUUUGCAAAUUUAUUCAGUAGAAAGGCUAAAAUUCAAUCCAAGAUAUAAUACAAGAGAUUUUGUGAUGAUUUUAUCAUAUUUAUAAUAAAAUUGAUAAAUACAGAUACAUAUUCAAAUAACUAUAAAAUAGAAUCAAAUUAGUCAACAUCCUCUAAAUCUAAUGACAAAAACAUUUAUGUCGUGACACAAGAGCUUAGGUUGAAUUACUAGCAACCCCAUCCUUACCCUCAAUUAUUAAAAAAAAAUAGAAUCAAAUUAUUUACAGAUGAAGAAUAAAAGUGGAUAUGUAGUGAAGGGUGAGUACUAGUUCAGCGUAAAAAUAUAUGGUACACUAUUUUUAAAAAAGGUAUAUGAUAAUUUUUUAAAACUGUUUGUAGUAAAAAAAAUACACCACACCGUACUUUUACUUUUUUUAAAAAAUUUAAAAUAGUUGGAUUUGGUUGCUUUUUAGAAUGCAAAAUUACCGAAAGGAAGUGUGGGAUACUUUGGAGGAUAAAUUUUUGAAAAGGAAGUUUGAGAUUCGAGUGCAACAAAAGGAACUCUUUUUGAACUAUGACCAUAAGAGGUAUUGGAAAAUCAUGGUUUCAAAUAAAAUUGGAGUGUCCGAAUAUCAGAUACUCUUAAGAGAGCUCUACAUUCUAUAUGAUGACAACAGAUUUGUUUCCCAUAAAAAAUAUAUCCCAUUUCUUCCAUCUUUCAAUUACAAAAUAAAUUAAACCUCAAAUUCAAUCUCUUGAUAAAAGCAUCAUUAAAGCUCUUAUGAUAGGAGUUAGAUUAUAUUUUACUUAAUGGAUCAAUUUGUUCUUUAUUCUAAUGUAUAACGGUUAAUUUACUUAUGUUUUGAGUAAAAGAGGCAAAAUGCAAUUCAACUCUUAAUACAAAUAUUUCUACGAUACUAUGGGGGAGUCCAUUUAGUGCUUACCGCGCAUGUUCCUAUGGCUUUUGCUAUGGAGGCUUUGGCAUGUUCUCAUGUCGUUCGCUUAGCUGCAGACCUCGGCCAGCAUAAGAUGACUUUUGAGGGGGAUUCACUUAGUGUUAUUCACAAGGCCUGCUGUCCUCUACACAACAUCUUAGCCAUCGAGGCUUACAUUUGGGAUGUGAAAGCGAUAGUUUCUUCCUUUCACCAUUGUUUGUUUGCUUAUAUUGCUCUCGAGGGUAAUACUCUAGCUCAUUUGCUGGCUACGAUGAGGCUGGUGGUUCUUUUUUUCUAAGCGGUGUCGUCCCUAGUUUUACUUCUCUCGCGGCGGAAUGGGAUCGACAGGAUAUCGAUUUGAACGAGAACGACGACUAAGGAGAUUUGUACAUAUCUUGUUCUUUAGAUGGGUCUUUGGCAAAGGAAUGUAAUAGGGUUCACUGUUUCGGUUGGCUUUCGGGGGAUCUGUUGAUCUAGGCAUCGUGGGGGUUGUCCGUGAUUAGUCGCUGUUGACGUUGGUCACCUCUUGUUCUUUACUCUAGCUAUUUGGCGAGCUUGGCGUUAUUUCACAUGGCUUUGGUUGCUAAGGGCCAUAGCUUGUUUUGUUGACAACUCCUUCUAGGAUUUGGAAUGCCUUUCUUUUAUUGGCUGGGAGCUGCUCAAACUGGGCUUUCUGUUUUAUUUUUGUUUGUUUUAGGUUUGGCCCGUCUGUUUUGCUUACUUUGUUUGGGUUUGUUGUUUCGACUUUAUUUGCUUUGUUUGUUGAUAAAAAGCCUAGUUUGAAUUAAAAAAAAAGUUAUUAAAGAAAAACGUGUAUAGUAUAAAAUGCGAUUAAAAAUAUUGAAUUGUUAAUGAAAAACACAUUUGAUGUAAAGUUUUUAUGACAUACUUUUAAUGCCGACUACAAAUGUGGAAGUCACACUAUGGGGGAGUCCGACCCAGAGGACCAACAUAUGGAAGAGCCCGACCCAAAGGACCAACCUUUGAACACACGCACUUCAUCUAGAAAUCCGAUAUACUCUGUCACUUAGAAAUUUUCCAAGUUCUAGGAAUAUAGUUCUGCAUUCAUUGACCUCGCCCUCUAAGUGUUCCCUUUCAUGACAUUCCUGACACCUUCGACAUGCACGUGUCUUACCUCUAACUAUUUUGCUUGUCUCAACCCCAUUUUUGGCAUCAAGGUUGCAAACCUGUAAAACAUAGCUAAAAAAAUUGAUGAAAUUCGCAAGUGACGUGUAUGCCUCAAGAUGGAAUUAACGACCUCAAAGAGGUUGGUCGUCAUAUGACCAUAUCGAUUCCCAUCAUCAAAACAUUUAGCCCAUUUCCACGGCUCUAUUCUACCCAACUAUUACCUGAAAGAAGGAUCGAACCCCUCCAUAUCAGUCUCUAACCUUACUAGCUUAUAUCUGAAUUGAUGUGGUUCCAACUCGUACCCUAUGUAUGUAUUUUGAUAAAACAAGUUACCAUCCCUUUUAGUAAAUGGAUUUGAAUUAGUUACAUAUACAAAUUUAAAUACAAUAUUUUUACCCGUGUUCACGAUUUGUUUACGCUAGUCUUUGUUCUUAUACUCCUUGUGGAAGUUGACAACGUUGUGGUGAAUGCACUAGAUGGACCUCCAUGGAACCUCGUAUUGCCAAAUUGCAGCAACAAGGCCCUUUGAUCUGUCGAAAACAAUGCAAAUGUUGUUUUUCCUGACAACAUGCCUCCACAAGUUCCUAAUGAAAAAUUCCCAUGAUUUGGAGUUCUUCGACUCCACGAUGGAGAAAAUAAUCGGUAGUACAUUUCGAUUACCGCCUUGUGCAACUGCAAUCAAAAGUAUCUACGUGUAUUUUCCAAAAAGCCACGUUCCAUCAACUUGCACAAGCGGUUUGAAGUAAGAGAAGGCCCUAACAUAUGGAUCGAAAGUCUAGAACAAUCAGCGAAAAAAUCUUCUCCCAAGUUCAAGUAGUUCAUUCGGGCCUCUGUAAGGCAACGUUUGCAAACCCACAACAGUUCUUAGGACGUACUACACCAUCAUUGAAAUCUGCCCCUAAAGUUUAUUGUAUGACUCAUCCCAAUCACCGUACAGUUGUUGUAUGACCAUUUCUAUUGCCCACCAUACUUUUCUGUACUACAUUUUGUACUGCAAUCAAUGUCGACACAAGAAUAGUUAUGUUUUCUUUCACUAGUGGCAUGAUACAGAUACUUUUGACAUCCAAUUUCCAGUGGACUUGAGUCAUACGUGUGACAGUGCAUGUAUGACUUCCUUCUCAUUUUUGUAUUUGCCACUGUUGAGUUAUCUGUAUAAAUGCAGCCCGAACUCACCAGCUACACCCAUCGCCAGCUCUCCAACAUUUCCCAACAUAUAAUGUCAAUGUAGACUUAGCGACCUUGUAAUUAAUCGACACCUUUAUGUUGUACUAUUUGAUGACAAACACAUAAUCUACCUUGUUCUUAAAUCAUUUCCCAACAAAUAAUUCUUUCAACUGCAAAUUUGAUGUCAAUUUGUGAGCAGUGACUAUAUCGGCAUACUCAAGGAACUCAGAUGCAUGCGUUGCAUUUGGAUCUACACUCAACAUGUCGUCCAAAGGUCAUUUCGUAAAACAAUGCCACGACUCAAGUUACUGAAAGAAGAGGCGUGAGCAUCUUCAACCUCUUUUAGGCCUUCAUCAUUGAUAUCGUUUGGAACCUCAUCAAUAUCGGUGUCACUAAAAUAUUCAACGUCCUGAUUAGAAUCUUCACCAUUAUUGGUCCUGUAAUGGCCCAAAUUCAAUUCUAUCGGAAUAGUGGUUUCGUAACCACAAAUCUGAUUUAAAGAGAAAUUUAUUUUAAUAUUUUUGCAUGAAUAUUGAUAUGAUAGGAAAAUCGUAUAAAAAUAUCGAUAGAAAAAUUUUACCGAUUUAGUGGUUAAUUAGAAAAAGAAAUUAUUGAAGAAAUUGGGUAAAAAUAAGGUACCAAGACCUCGAUCUCGUAAAAUCGAGUCAAAAACAUUUUUAUAAAUAUUUAUGAAGUGUUAGUAAUAUGGUAUUAAAAUUUCGUUAGAAAAUUUUAAUGUUUGGGUAGUCAAUUAAGUAAAAAGGACUAAAUUGAAAAAAGUGUAAAAGUUACUAGAGGGAUUAAAUAGCUCAAUUGUGAAAUGAGGAGGGACAUAAAUUGCAAAUAACCCCAAAAGAAGAUAUUUUGGGCGGCAUACGCUGAGAAAAAUUAGGAGAAUUGAAGAAAUAAGGGUAAAAUUGGAAUAUUAUAAAAUUUGCUUUAAAAGUUAGGACUAAAGUGGAAUUAUCUAGAUUUCUCUUUAUUUUUCUGCACUCUCAUCAGCCAAAAAACGUCCUAAGGGUUUCUUCAAGCUGGUUUUUCAUAAUUUUUGCACCAAGUGAGUUAAUUCCUGCCUUUUUCUUAUAAUUUUUGUGUUUCUAAGACUUUUACAACUAGGUCCUAUUACUAAAUUCAUUAGUUUUUGAUUUUAUGAAUGAAUUUGAAAGUUGAUAUGAAUAUGUUCUGGAAUUUUAUGAUGAAAUAGGAUGAAAUUGAAGCUUUAAUUUGUUUGUGAGAUGAUUUUAUUAGGUAAUUCCAAUAGAAAUUGAUUUGUAGGACCUAAUUGUGAAAAAGUUUGGAAUUAAAGUUUAGUGCUGAAAUUCUGAUUUCCAAAGGUUAUAAGGUAGUUUAAAGUGAUAUAAUAAAGUGUUUAUUGAGAAAAAUCAGCUCAAUUGAGAGGUUAAUUGAGCAGGGACGAAAUUAUCAUUGUUGAAAGUUUAAGGGAAAAAUGGUAAUUAACACCAUGCACUAAAACAGUUUUGGACAGCAGCAGUACUCUGACUUUGAAAAAUCACCAAAAAUUGUAGAGAUCGAAUUAGAGGGUGAAUAAAAUAUGAAAUUAAAGCUUAUUGAGUCUAGUUUCUUAUAAAAGAAACAGUGUAAGAAAUGGAAUUGUAAAUCAUCAGAUAUAAUAGAUUUUGUGAGACAAGGUCAGAAUGAAUUCGGGUUCCCCUGUUCUGACUUUGGAAAAUCAUUAAAAAUUGUAAAAAAAUUAUUAUGAGUUAUAAUUUAUAUGCUUAGAAUCCCUAAUGAGUCUAUUUUCUGAAGAAAUCCCUAAUGAGUCUAUUUUCUGAAGAAAUAAAGGAAAGCAUCAUCCUAAUUCUGUACAGUGAGAUAAUUAAUUUUUAGUGAAGAGGGGUCAGAACUGUCAUACAGUGAAACAGGGGAAACUUUAAGGAAUAAACUGUACUUAUUGGCUAAACCAAAAAUUCUUAAUUUUUUAUGGUAAGAAGAUAUUUGAGUCUAGUUUCAGGGAAAAUUAACGUAUCUUAAUUUGGAGUUCUGUAGCUCAAGAUAUAAAUAAUUUAGUGACUGUGACUCAGUGAGGCAGCUUUGAAUGCACUAUAAAUAAUAAUGGAAUUGUAGAGAAAGUUACAUAUGAACAUGAAAUGUAUUAGAUUAAUGAUUAAAUUUAUUUAUUUAGAUCCAGAAAAUUCAAAUACGAAGCAAGAUCGAGGAAAAGAAAAAGUUCGGGAUUAGUAGAUUUUUGUUUACGAACAAUUGUCAAGGUAAGUUCGUGUAACUUGAAUUAUAUUCAUAAAUGCUUGAAAUGUUUGUUAUUGAUGUGAAUAUGAUUUGAAUGUUCAUUGUAUGAAAAUUGAUGAAGUAUUGAUAUUCUUGAUGAAAAGAGAAAAUAAAUCCCGGUUGAAUGAAAGGAAAAUUCGAUGGAUCUCUGAAAAGGAAUUGACGGUAAAAAGGAUCUAGCCCGGACGGGUGAUCCUAUCCUGAUAUAGCCCUCCUGAAGAAUAUGUGGAAAAUGGAUUUAGCCCGGACGGGUAAUCCGAAUUAGGGUCUGAAUUUAGCCUGGACUGGUAAUUCAGAUCCAAGCUCAUUAGAGUAAUUGUCGUUGCAGGGGAUUUAGCCUGGACUGGUAAUCCCGCUGUAAGGAUGAGGUUCGCGGGAGUGUGCUCUCUAAAAUGGAAAUGUGCGCACAUGAAUAUGAAUUGACGGACCUGGAUUUGUACACUUAGGUGUAUCCCUGAAUAUCCAUCGAAAUUCCAAGUAGUUCAACGGGAUAAAUAUGGAAAAAUAACAAGGAAAUGGAAAUCCUGGAAUUGAUGAGCUCAUCAAUCAUUUAUCUUUGUAAUGAAUUUGUAUGAGGUUGAGUUUGUAUGUGAUAGGUGUAUGUUUAUGUGAAUUGGAUGUGUGCUUGUGUUAUUAAAUGAUGGAUGUAUAAGUAUGGUAAGUAUAAUUCCUGUUGCAUGAACUUACUAAGCACAAAGUGCUUACCCGGUUUCUUUUUCCCCUGUUUGUAGAGUUAAGAGCUCGGAAGUCGGAUUUGGUCAGAGACACAUCACACUAUCAAUCUCGAGAUCUCGGUACAUAAAGGAACUUUAUUUUGGAAAUCAAUGGCAUGUAUAAGCUAGUAAAUUAGAUGUUAAUGUGAAAUGAAUGUAUGGUUAGCCAUUGGUAUGGCUAACAAAUUUUGGUUUUAGUAUGUGAUGAAAUUAUCUUAUGAAUAUGAUAAAUCUAUCUUGAAAAAAAAAUUCGGUAAAAUCUGGUAAUGCCUCAUACUCUAUUUCGGCGACGAAUACGGGUAGGGGGUAUUACAGGUCCCUUUUCCGUCAUCAACCUCAAUACCUAUCACCUCCAGAUAUAAUUGUAGACAGGGACCAAGGGCAGGGUUGUUAUACAAACUCCCACCAUAAUUUUGAUUUUCAGGCAUCUACGAUGUCCCUUCGCAGUCUAACUGAUCUGCCCAUCCGAUAUUAAGAUCAAAGUCAAAUAUGCGAUGUUGACUUAUUGGACUAACAUUUUCAAUGGGCUAUAAGUCCGCUAACUCAGCAAAUAACUCAACCUGUUGGAGGUUGUAACGCCCCAAAAUUUCUAAUAAGUUAUUGUGAAAAUAUGACACAAAUAUAUGUCAGCUUUAGUAGUUAUGUUGAGUAUCUUGAUUUUAGGCCUUGAAGUGCUCGAGAGUGAUUAGGCAACAAAACGAUACCAAGUGUGUACUCGAAACACGAAAAUAAAGGAUUCGGUGAAAAGCCGGAAUUACUUGCUAUUUGGACAGCAACAGUACGCUAACUUUGAAAAAUCUCCAUAAAUUGUUGAAGUCAAAUUAGAGGAUGAAAAAAAAUAUGGAAUUAAAGCUUAUUGAGUUUAGUUUCUCAUAGAAGAAAUGGUGUAAGUAAUGGAAUUGUAAAUCGUGAGUUAUAAUAAACUUUGUGAGACAAGGUCUGAAUGAAUUCGGGUUCCCCUAUUCUGACUUUGGAAAAUUAUCAAAAAUUGGAGAAAAAUAAUUAGGGGUUAAAAUUUACAUGUUUAAAUUAUUAAUGAGUCUAGUUUCAAUAGAAAUAAAUGGAAACAUCAUCCAAAUUUUGUACUAAGAGAUAAUUAAUUUUUAGCAAAGAAGGAUCGAAGCUGUCAGACAGUAGAACAGUGGUAAGUUAGAAGAUUUUACUGUACUUUUUGGCUAAACCAAAAAUUCUGAAAAUUUUAUGGUAGAAAGUUAUUUGAGUCUAGUUUCAAAGACAUCAAGCAGUUUUUAAUUCAAAAUUCUGUAGCUCAAGAUAUAAAUAAUUUAGUAAUAGUGACUCAAGUAGACAGCUUUAAAGGAACAUAUAAGUAAAUAGUGAAAACAUAUAUGAAUAAUUAACUAGCACGGGUUACAUUAAAAAUGGAUCACGUGGCCAAGGCUAAUUUGGGUUAAAUGGGCCACAUGGGCAUGUGAGCCCAUUUUUCUGAAAAGUUCUUUACGGUUGCACGGGUUGCCUAAGUCGACUGUAGACCUACUGUAGGGUCGAUAAGCUUUACUUAGACUCCUAGAUGUGUGAUUUGUCUGUCUGAUUCCUAUAUCAAGUAUGACUUAUGAUACCUGAAUGUAUGUACUAUUAAUUGCAUAAUGGCAUGACAUAUUUUGUAUGUUGCAUUGCAUCGGGGUGGGUUGAUGUUACUUGGAGGGAGUGUCUGAAAUGUUAUUAAGCCUGUCAUCUCGCAGCUCAUCUGCAACCUUCUUAUUAUGUGCCACAUUUCGGGACAGCAUGGUGUGUAGGAAUGGGUGGGUUGAUUUAAUCCCUACAUGGUGUGUAGGGUUGGACGAAGAUGGUGUGUAGAGGCUAGUGGGUAGGAUUCUGAUUUAAUGGAUCUGCAUUAUGUAUUUGAUAUGGGCCAAGGCCCUAAUGUAUUUCUGAGUCUGUAUCUAAAUGGGCUAAAGCCCAAAUUGAUUCUGUGAUGGGCACAGGCCCCAGACUGUAUCUAACUGAAUUCUAUUGAAUAUCUGUAUACAUGUUUUCUGUGGGGAUUAUACACUGAGUUUAUAAAAACUCACCAUUUUUUGUUUAAUCUGUACAGGUAAUCCCCAAAUUUGACGGGUCAGUGCAGCGGAAGACUCGACGGUGGCCACAUGUAAAUUUUAGACUAUUUUCCGUUAAUGCCUAGAAUUUAUUACUUAUUUAGGGUUUUUGAUGUAAUUUGGACUAUGGACAGUUGGCUUUAAAUUUGGGAAUUUUUACUAUUUUUAUGGGUUUUUUUAAACUACAAUUCAACAAAACACGGUUUUUCUAAAAACUAUGGUUUUAGUAAAUACAAAUGAUUUUUCUUAAAUUAAUUGGUUACAAAAGCUUCUGCUAAGAGACAAGUUUUAAAGCAAAUCAACUAGUUUUUUUCCGAAUUAAAUAAUAGCUAACUUACUGUAAUGGUUUUUAAACUCAACAAUCUUGUCUUCAAAUCCCUUUCCAUGUGACAUCGCCAGAUUCGGCCAUAACGUCUAAGCUGGGUUUGGGGUGUUACAUUUAGUGGUAUCAGAGCCAGGUUGUAAAACUCGGCUGUGGAUUUGGAUUUUAAAACUUGGUUUUAAGGAGAUUAUUUUUAAAUAGUUUGAAAUAGUUUAGACUGAGUAUGUGGCACACCAAGUCUCCAGCGUCGAUUUUGUAAGUGUUCUAAAAACUCUGAUAAGUUUUUUGAAAAUAUGAUUAGCAUAUUCUAAAACUACUAUAGGUAGUACAUUGUACUGAAAACAUUGUAGAUAGUAUAUACUGAAAACAGUAGUGAAACUAAAAACUGUAGUAAGAUUGUAAUUUUUGAUAACAAACUCUAAACUUCUAAUACUGUUUCGCAUAAAAUAUCUACUAAUAAAUAUCGAAACUGUAACUAAUUUAUAAAACUAUUAACACAGAUAGGCUACAAAUUCUACGAUGAGUGCACGAGGCAUCCACGAAUGGGGUAUUAGAGGCCUAGGUAGAGGCCGUAGAGGGGCUCGAGCUGAGUCCUCGUUGUUAGGCAGCAUGGCGAAUCUGGAUACUAGUGUGAGCCGAUUUCACCUGCUACAGAUACUGGGUCUCCUGAUCGCAUAGCCAGGGACGACGCCAUGUCUCAGGUUAUGCUAGGGAUAUUAGAGUGGGUCACUGGACCUAACACUGGAUCUGAGAUCCGAGGGUCAGUUACAGAACGACUUCGGUCUAAUGGGGCUGAGCUAUUCAGGGGUAUCAUUAUAGUCGUCCCUAGCUUGACCGAGUACUAGAUCGAGGCCAGGGAAAGAAUCAUGGAUGAUCUAGACUUUACCCCUGAACAGAAAUUGAAAGGGGUUGUUUCUUUGCUUCGCGAUGAAGCAUACCAAUGGUGGCUAACCGUUAAGGAGGGCACUCAGCCCGAAUGACUGAUAUGGGAUUUUUAUAAGUCUACUUUCUGAGGUAAAUAUGUGGGGGCAAGCUACAUUGACACUAGAAGAUGUGAGUUUCUAAAUCUCACGCAAGGGGGUCGUUCAAUGGUUGAGUAUGAGGUCAAGUUUCUAAGAUUGAGUCGCUAUGCACGAGGAAUGGUGACGACUGAAUAUGAGCAUUGUGUCCGCUUCGAGGAUGGACUCAGGGACAUGUUGAGUGUUUUGUUAGCUCCGCAGAGGGAGCGUGAGUACUAGUAGAGAAGGCAAAGAUCGCCGAGGAGGUGAAGUGCGCUGAGCGCCAAAACCAGGAUAAGGAGAGAGGCAAGAAUAGAAGGGAUUCAGAGCCCUCGAGUUCUGCGAUGAGACCUAAGAAAAAGGUCAGAUCUGGAGGGCCAGUUACAGUUGGGGCCCCUAUUGCAUCUACUGGGAUCACGCUUUGUGGGCAUUGUGGAAGACACUAUCCGGGCGAAUGUUGGAGGACGAUUGGGGCUUGUUUAAGAUGUUAGUCUACUAAACACCGUGUCCGAGAGUGUCUGUUGAGGGCUUAUCAGGUGCAAGCUGUGAGUUCUAGUACUACACCAUUGAGGGUAGUUCAACAACCGCCUAGGGUCGUGGUCAAGCUAGGGGUGGUAAUGGUAUUGGUCGUGGGCAGAGAGCAUCGAGCAGAGGUGCUGGCCAGGCUGAGGUGAGAUAACUGUCCCUAGUUUAUGCUGCUCGCCGUCGAGAGGAUAGAGAUGCUCCAGACGUCAUCACAGGUAUGUUUCUUAUUUUUUAUGUGACUUACACUACAUUGAUAGAUAUAGGAUCUACGUAUUCCUAUGUUGCCUGUUCUGUUUCCAAAAACCUAGGGAUUCCGGUUGAGAGUACUUCUAGUGAGGUGAGGGUAAUCUGUUAGAGUUAGAAAACUGUACAAGGAUGUUCCUUUAAAGGUUCAAGGGACGGUAUUUCUGGCUAAUUUGAUGGAGCUUCCGUUUGGGGAGUUCGAUAUGAUUUUGGGGAUAGACUGGUUGGUCAAACAUCGUGUCAAUUUGGACUGUGCGACUAAAAGGGUCGUAUUGAGAACUGAUGAGGGUAAUGAAGUAGUUGUGAUUGGGGAACGUCGAAAUUACUUUGCUAAUGUGAUCUCUGCACUGGUAGCUGAAAAACUGGUUCGCAAGGGAUGUGAGGCGUAUUUGGCCUAAGUAAGCGUUUCUGUUUCUAGGGACUCUACUGUAAAGGAUAUCAAAACUAUGAGGGAUUUUCUGGAUGUCUUUUUUGAGGAGCUACCGGGUUUACCUCUGAAUCUGGAAGUGGAGUUUGGGAUUGAACUUUUCCCUGGUAUAGCUCCGGUGUCUAUCGCUCCCUAUCGAAUGGCACCAAAGGAGCUUACGGAGAUCAAGGCUCAAAUUCAGGAGUUAUUGGAUCGUGGGUUUAUCCGCCCUAGUGUGUUCCCGUGGGGAGCAUCGGUACUAUUUGUUAAGAAAAAGAAUGGAUCCAUGAGGAUGUAUAUCGACUACCGAUAACUAAAUAAGUUGACUAUUAAGAACAAGUAUCCACUUCCGAGGAUUGAUGAUUUGUUUGACCAGUUCUGAGAGGCGCUUGUGUUCUCUAAAAUUAACUUGCAUUCUGGGUAUCAUCAGUUGAGGGUUAAGGAGGCUGAUGUGCAUAAGAUGGCAUUUAAGACUCGUUAUGGUCACUAUGAGUUCCUAGUGGUGCCAUUUGGACUGACUAAUGACCGGUAACUUUAAUAGAUCUGAUGAAUCGAGUGUUUCUGCCCUACCUGGAUCGAUUUGUAGUGGUGUUCAUCGAUGACAUAUUGGUUUAUUCGAGGACUGAGGAUGAGCAUGAUGAGCACCUUAGGAUUGCUAUUCAGAUUUUGAGGGAAAAAUAGCUCUAUGCUAAGUUCAGCAAGUGCGAGUUCUGGUUACGUGAAGUAACAUUUCUGGGUUAUGUGGUGUCUGCUGAAGGGAUUCGAGUUGAUCCUCGAAAAAUUAAGGUUGUAUUGGAUUGGAAACAACCUAAGAAUGUGUUUGAGAUUUGCAGCUUUUUGGAGCUAGCAGGUUAUUAUCGACGUUUUGUGGAAGGGUUCUCCUUGAUCGCAGCAUCAUUGACUAAGCUUCUGCGUAAGGGAGUUCCAUUUGUCUAGACUGAUAUGCAAAAAGAGAGCUUCGAGAAGUUCAAGGCUGUUCUGACUCAGGCUCCUGUUCUGAUACAGCCUGAGCCCGGUAAGGACUUUGUGGUUUACAGUGAUGCUUCACAUGUCAGAUUGGGGUGUGGAUUGAUGCAGGAUGGCAAGGUGAUAGUAUAUGCAUUUCGUCAGCUCAAAACUUAUGAAGCGAGCUAUUCGAUGCACGAUUUGGAGUUGGCCGCCAUUGUCUUUGCAUUGAAAAUCUGGAGGCAUUAUCUGUACGGUGAGAAGUGUAUUAUCUACACUGAUCAUAAAAGCCUCAAGUAUCUCCUCACUCAGAAGGAUUUAAAUCUUAGGCAGCGUAGAUGGGUUGAGCUACUUAAGGAUUAUGAUUGUACCAUUGAGUAUCAUCCCGUCUAGGCCAAUAUGGUGGCUGAUGCGUUGAGCCGUAGAGCUAUGACCGAUCUGAGAGCGAUGUUCACUCGACUUAGCCUAUUCAAUGAUGGAAGUCUGUUGGCAGAACUUUAGGUCAAACCGACAUGGAUUGAACAUAUUCGAGGUAAACAGUUGGGGGAUAAGUCUCUUAGGUUACGUUUUCAUCAGGUUGAGAAUGGUGGCACUACUAAUUUUGGGAUAAACAGUGAUGGGGUACAUUAUUUCCUCGAUCGAAUUCGUGUACGAAAUUAUGAGUAUUUAAGGCAGUCGAUUCUGAGAAAAGCGCAUGGUAGUCCCAAUACUAUGUAUCCCGACAGAAACAAGAUGUACCGAGAUCUUCAAGAAUUGUACUGGUGGCCAAGGUUGAAGCAUGAGGUUACUGACUUCGUUGCUCGUUGUUUGACUUGUCAGCAGGUUAAGGCUAAGCAUCAAUUACUUUCGGGUUUGCUGCAGUUGGUUAAGAUACCAUUAUUGAAAUGGGAGCGAGUAACGAUAGACUUCGUUAGUGGGUUGCCUCUAACACCCACAAAGAAGGAUUUUGUCUGGGCCAUCGUGGAUCGAUUGACCAAGCCUGCUCACUUCAUCCUAGUAAGGAUAGACUUUUCUCUUCAGAAAUUAGCUAAACUCUACAUAUCAAAAAUAGUGAGGCUGCAUGGGGUACCUAUCUCGAUCAUUUCCGAUAGGGAUUCUCAUUUCACGUCUCGGUUCUAGAAGAAGCUUCAUGAGGCUCUGGGUUUAAGAUUAGACUUCAGUACUGCUUUCCAUCCUCAGACAGAUAGUCAAUCGGAGUGGGUGAUUCAGAUACGGGAAGACAUGUUGAGGAGCUGUGUUAUUGAUUUUCGAGGCAGUUGGGAAGAGUACUUAUCGUUAGCGGAGUUUGCCUACAAUAAUAGCUUCCAGUCUGACAUCCAGAUGGCACCUUACUAGGCACUGUACGAUCGUAAGUAUCGCACUCCUUUAUGUUGGACUGAGUUGGGUGAGCGACAUGUUUUGGGUCCUAAAUUGGUGUCCGAGACUAAAGAUAAGGUUAGACUGAUUCGAGAUCAUCUAAUAGCGGCUUCUGACAAGCAGAAGUCCUAUGCAGAUCAGAAGAGUAAGAAUAUCGAGUUUACAGUGAGGGACUUAGUUUUUCUCAAGGUCUCGCCAUGAAAAAAGGUUCUAAGGUUCGGUCGCAAGGACAAGCUGAUCCCCCGGUUUAUUGGACCUUACCACAAUCUGAAAUGUGUGGGACCUGUCACUUAUCAGUUGGAGUUACCUUCGGAGUUGGACAAUAUUUAUGAUGUUUUUCACGUCUCGAUAUUGAUGCGCUACUGCUCUGAUCCCACGCAUGUUGUUUCUGUUGAGGAGAUUGAGGUUAGGCCAGACUUGACCUUCGAAGAGGAGCCAGUUCAGAUUCUGGAGCGUGAUGUAAAGGUCCUUUGGAAAAAGUCUCUUCCCUUAGUGAAAGUUCUGUAGCAUAAUCAUAGCACUGAGGAGACUACGUGAGAGCCUGAGGAUGCGAUACGUCAGCAAUAUCCUCAUAUGUUCUUAUCAGGUAAAAUUUAGAGGACGGAAUUUUCUUUUAGGGGGUAGAGUUGUAACGCCCCAAAAUUUUUAAUUUCAUUAUUGUGAAAAUAUGAGAAAAAAAUCUGUCAGCUUUAGUGGUUAUAUGUUCUAGGAGUGUUUGGAUGGUCCCAAGUUCAAGCCUUCGCUUGGGCAAAUUUUGGUAUUUUGAAUGAAUUAGGCCUUACUCUUGUUCAGUAGGUUUUUAUUUGAUUGUUGGGUAAAUUACAUCAGAAUGGGCUUGCUGGUUUGGUGGUUAAAUGGUGUGUUAUUAUGGUAGAGGUCUUGUGUUCGAAUCCCUAUGCAGGCAAGGGUAUUAUUUUUGCUCAGAUUUUGGGAUAGAGUUGUAUAAUAGGGGGAUUCUGAGUAGUGGAUAUGUAGUGGGAAUUAGGGGAGAAGAUUAAGGGAUUUUGAGGGUUAUCGAGAUUUUAUUUUAUUUUAUUUCCCCAUAACCGAAUUUUGACUCUCUUUUUCAAAAAAAAUUAUGCCGUCUAUUCUUCUCCCUCUCCUCUUGCCUAAAUUCUCUAAGUUUUUCCAUCUUUCUCUUCUUUUUCUUCUUCUUGAUUUUUCCCUAAUCCAUUUAUUUUCUUUCGUUUUCGUACGUGGUUAGUGCUCGCUUAGUUUCAGUAAGUGUUUCUCUUUGUUUCUGUCAUGAAUCUUUUAAUGACUGAAGUGGUAAUGUUUUUCUCUACGAUUUGAGCGUAGGGGGAGGCUCGAAUUGGUGAAUUCAGUGUUCUCGUCUUAACAAUAGUUAAACGGAGUGUUAUCAUUGGUGGUAAGUUGGGUUUCUGUUCGUUCUUGGCUGUCAAUUCGCUUGUAAAUCCAUUAAAUUGAUGUUGAGUAUCUUGAUUUUAGGCCUUGAAGUGCUCAGGAGUGAUUAGGUAUCAAAAUGAUACCAGGUGUGUACCCGAAACGCAAAAAUAAGAGAUUCAACAAAAAACCAAAAUUGCUUGCUAUUUGGACAGUAACAGUAGGCUAACUUUGAAAAAUAUCCAUAAAUUGUGGAAAUCGAAUUAUAGGAUGGAAAAAAUAUGAAAUUAAAUCUUAUUGAGUCUAGUUUCUUGUAGAAGAAACGGUGUAAGUAAUGGAAUUGUAAAUCGUGAGUUAUAAUAAACUUUGUGAGACAAGGUCAGAAUGAAUUCGGGUUUCCUUGUUCUGACUUUGGAAAAUUAUCAAAAAUUGGAGAAAAAUAAUUAGGGGUUAAAAUUUACAUGUUUAAAUUAUUAAUGAGUCUAUUUUCAAUAAAAACAAAUGGAAACAUCAUUCAAAUUUUGUACUAAGAGAUAAUUAAUUUUUAGCAAAGAAGGGUCGAAGCUGUCAGACAGCAGAAUAGGGGUAAGUUCGAAGAUUUUACUGUACUUUUUGGCUGAACCAAAAAUUUUAAAAAUUUUAUGGCAGAAAGUUAUUUGAGUCUAUUUAAUUCAAAAUUCUGUAGCUCAAGAUAUAAAUAAUUUAGUAACAGUUAUUGAAGUAAACAGCUUUGAAGGAACAUAUAAGUAAAUAGUGAAAACAUAUAUGAAUAAUUAACUAGCAUGGGUUACAUUAAAAAUGGAUCACGUGGCCAAGGCCAAUCUGGGCCGAGUGGGCCACAUGGACAUGUGAGCCCAUUUUUUUGAGAAGUUCACAAAAAUGGUGGUGCCAAACUGUAUCGCUCCACCAAAAAAGGAUUAUUUUUCUAAAUACCCCAAUUUUUCAGAAAUAGUAAUAUUUCUCUAAUAUUUAUACAGGUGGCGUUAUUCUACAUGACUCCACCAAAAAAAUGAAUAUUUUUUAUUUAGUUUGCUGAUAUGGCAUGUUGUUGGUGCCAAACUCUCCAAACUUAUUUUGGGCCUAAUAUUAUUAUCUAAACAUGCCAAAUUUCUCGGUGAACAUUCAAGUUUGAAUGAAUAAUCCAAUCCUUAAACAAAUCUACUAUUCAUAACUUCUAAUCCUUAAACAAAUUUACAUUCAAACCCAAAAAAUCUAAAUUAUUACGAUAACUAAGGUUCCAACGAGUUUUGUCGAUAUCCUUAAUCCAGUUUAUAUAAUUAAAAAGAUAUAAUGAUUUUUUUGGCUCUCCAACUUUCUAAAAAAGUAAUUUUGACCCUCUAUUUAUAUUUUGUCUUUUAGUCCUUAAACUUGUAAUUUUUUAUCAAAUCACCCCAAAAUGGGUGGAAAAGUUAAUGUUUGGUACCUUUGCUAAUGUGACAUACACGUGGAUAACAUGCCAAUAUUUAAUUAUUUUUUUAAAAUUAAAAACAUAAAAAAUUACAUUUUUAUAUUUUUAACCAUUUAAUUUUAGAAAUAAUUUUUAAAAUUUUAAAAAAUUAAUUUAAUGCUGACAUGUCAUUCACGUGGCAAUCCACGUGUAUGCUACGUUAGCAAAGUUACAAAUGUUACUUUUUCAAUCUAUUUUGAGGUGACUUGAUAAAAAAAUACAAAUUUAGAGGUUAGAAUAAGGGCAUAGCUAGGGGCUGGCAGGGGCCUUAACCCUCUAAAAUGAAAAAUUUUCUACUUAGACUCUUUAAAAUCUUAAAAUUUAUAUUUAAAUUAAUAAAGGUAAAAUUAUCCUUUGGUCCGCUUAAAAAUGAUAAAAUUUUAAUUUAAUCCUUUAAAAAUUAUAAAGAUAUAAACUAUUAAAAUGAUAAAAUUAUAUUUUUAUUAUCGUAAAAAUUAUAAUUUAAUUUUGCCCCAAUAAAAAUUUUCUAGCUUCGUCUCAUAUUAGAAAGGGUGAAAAGUUAAAUAAAAGGAUAAAAAGGAUAAAAUGACUUUUUUUUUUUGGUAAUGUUAAAGGAUGAUUAUGUGAAUUAAAAAAAUAUUACACCGAUGUAAAAAUUUAAUUCUCAAAUAUUCUAAAUUUUAAUUACUAUCUUAUCUAUGAUGUUUCCUACAAAGUUCAAAAUUAUGGGGUAUGGGUCGAUUUAAUUACAAUCUUAUCUAUGAUGUUUCAUACAAAGUUCAAAAUUAUAGGGUAUGGGUCGAUUUCACGUCACAAAUCUUAAGCAAAAAGUUGGCAGCAGUCCCCAUAAUGUAUCCAAGAUUCAAGGGUGAUCCACACAAUAAUCAAAAGUGAAUCAGAGCCACCAAUUCCCAAUCAUAUGAAAUCAGGCCAGACCCUAAAUUCGAUUUCUACCAUUGAUUUAUACUGAAUCACCCGAUAUUACGGACCCUAUGUGUCUUAAACCAACAGAAGGUGGCAUUAUCUGCCGUCCUACCGCCCCUUAAAACCAUCCACCUGUCCCCCUGCCUGCCCCUUGCGUGGACAUCUAAGUAGCCUUACAAACAAAACACUAAAUCCUCUUAUCCUAUGUCUUAAGCCGAAAGGAUCGGACGCGUGAAUGUUCCCUUCUAAACAUGUGCCUCUAUCUCAUUCAGUAUCCUAUUUUUUAGUCCCUCACUCUAAAAACACGCGUUCACAACACCUAUUUAAUCUAACCGUCCAUUCUCACGUGAGUCCAGCAAUCGUAGGUGUUGCCUCCUGGAUCGCCCCUCCUCUCGCCAUGUAACGAAAAGGACACAUGUCGAGAAGCUAAUAAAUUACAAAAUUUCAACAUAAACCAUGAAAUAUUUUGUUCUAAGUUUCUAAAAACUCAAAAAUUAGAAGGAAAAGACUUAAAUUAACUUACCAAAUGAGCUUGGAACCUCAAAACCUAAAUUUUCCCUUUUUCUUUCUUUCUUUCCUUCUUUCCUUUUCUGUUUCGUUUGCCUAUUCUGUUUCUAUUUCUCUUUUUCUAUCUUUUAUUUCUUUUAUUUAAUUAGUUUAAUAUAAUAACAAUAAAAUAAUAAUAUAAUAUUAUUUACUUAAAUAAUAAGUAAAUAUUUAAUAAUUACUAAUAAAUGUAUUUCAUUUUUCCACAUGUCAUCAUAUGUAUCAUACAUUUGUCAACUUUUUUCUUUAUUUAAAAUAAAAUAAAAUAAUAUAAUAUAUAAAUAUCUUUUACUUAAUUAAUAAGUAUGUAUAUAUAUUAAUUACAAAUGUAUACAUAUAUUUAUUACACAUGUAUUUAUAAUUAUCACACACUUGUCACUUUUUAUGGUUUAAAUAUUAGUUUAGUCCUUUCAUCUUUCUCUAUUCUAUAAUUAACUUUCACACUUAAUUCAAUUUUAGUCCUAAUACUCAAUUAACUUUAAUUCAACUAAAUUCACUUAACUAAAAUUCGAUUGAUCAUGUAACUAACUCUAUAAAUAUUUUAAAUAAUUAUUUACGAGUCUAUUCUACUAAAAUAGAGACUAGAUAAUUCACUUUUCAAUGCCUACAUUUUUUAAGUCAUUAUAUGGAUGUCCCCUUCUCUUGCCACAUAGCGAAAAUGACACGUGUCGAGAAACUAACGGGUUUUUAGAAUUAAUCCUUUUAAAUUUCGUUUCUAUAAAUACUUCAUCUCACAACGCGUUCAACCCUCAGCACACAUUCAAAGCCGGAAACAUCCCCAACUGAAUAAAUUUACGCAAAACAAAAAGGAAAGAAAAGGGUGUAAGAUUCAUUUCCUUUUUUCUUCUCAUCUCUGACAGGUAAUCGGAAAAGGCAAACAGUUCGAAUAAAUAGAAAAUGGCGUUGAAUUUGGCGCAUCAGAUUGGUUCUCUAGCCGGGACACAAAUUGCAGCUGAAGUCACCACCGGAGAACAAUCAUCCUCAGCGACGGCUGAUGUGUCGGGAUUUCGGAAAGUUCCAUUGGCAAAUCUCCGAUGCAACGCCCCAGGAGAAGCUCUGUCCCCUCCAAUGUUAACUCCACCGUUGACGCCGCGAAGCGCGGCAAACAGGUCGGCUAUGAUGAGUCUGUCGCUGCGUCCGGAUCUGUCCGCCGUUUGCCAGGCUUUCGGGACGUUAUCACCGCUGGAGACGGCUGAGGAGUCAUCGGCGUCGGUGGCGUGGAAGGAGGGAGGGAAGAAAGAGGAGAAGAAAGGGGUUCCGGUUUACGUGAUGAUGCCGUUGGAUAGCGUGACGAACGGGAAUACGGUGAAUAGAAAGAAGGCGAUGAAUGCGAGUCUCCACGCGCUGAAAAGCGCGGGAGUGGAGGGGAUAAUGAUUGACGUUUGGUGGGGUCUGGUGGAGAGGGAAGCGCCGGGUGCUUACAAUUGGGGUGGCUACGCGGAGCUUCUCGAGAUGGCUAAGAAGCAUGGCCUUAAAGUCCAGGCUGUCAUGUCAUUCCAUCAGUGUGGGGGCAACGUCGGUGACUCUUGCACGUUCGUAUCUCCUCCUUACCUCUCUUUACUGUUUAACUUUUAAAAUUUAAACCCUUCUUUUUCUUCAAGAUCCCGUUACUCAGCUUAUGUAAAUUUUAUUUAAAAAAAUAGUAAUUUUAAAUUAAUUUUUGUGGGGAUGGGAUCCCUUUUUGAAAAUCAAGAAGAAAGAAAGUUUACACGUUUGAUUAAUUAUUGAUUACAAGUCAAUCAUUUGCUUAUUUUUGAAUUUGAAAGAGACGAUCAGAUGAACCAACGUUUUUAAAAAAAAAAUUUAGAUGAAGGGAUAACGUAAGCUUUCAUUGCAUCUUUUUACAAAAGUUGGGUAAAAAGGGGACCGAAAGAAAUUAAAUUUGAAGAUAGAUAUNNNNNNNNNNNNNNNNNNNNNNNNNNNNNNNNNNNNNNNNNNNNNNNNNNNNNNNNNNNNNNNNNNNNNNNNNNNNNNNNNNNNNNNNNNNNNNNNNNNNGAACCUAUUUUAGAAGUUCAUGAAUCAGAACAAUUUUUUUUGACGGAGGGUACGGUGGUAGCUUUCAUUUCUCUCCAUCUCUCCAGGCAGGGAAUAUGGGGUUUGUAUGGAAAUUUUCAUAAGCCCCCAUACGGUGGUCCAAAUCCUGUAUUUUUUAUCUAAAUCUUUAUUGAAUCAAAUACUGGGAUGUAUUGAUUUGAUGUUAUGGAGCUACUCUUUUAAAAAGAAAAAUAUGGUUGUUUUUGUACAGUAUUCCUUUGCCCAAGUGGGUUACAGGGGAGAUCGAGAAGGACCCAGACCUCGCAUACACUGAUCAAUGGGGA
RNAcentral lists this long non-coding RNA (66276 nucleotides) under Gossypium raimondii (Peruvian cotton). RNAcentral's name for it is "long non-coding RNA (GRAI_LNC009393)". Lineage: Eukaryota; Viridiplantae; Streptophyta; Magnoliopsida; Malvales; Malvaceae. The record is from RNAcentral.